UAGUCCAAAAGGAAUGUCCCUUGAUACCAUAAACAAAAAAUACCAUGUCUGCUUUUUAUUCAAUAAUAAUAAUACAAAGAUGACUGAUCCAAACAAUUUUAAGCUCAAACACAAUGUUAUAAGGUAAGAUAAGAACUAAUGUCACAAUAUUACAGGUAAAUCGUUUUUUUUCUUCCUGUUUUUCAAUUUUUAUCACUAUAAUAUUUUCUAUUCCAAAUCUUUAAGAUCCUCAUCCAUUGGUAUGGUAUAGAAGAAGUGUUCAAUUUGCUCGACUGCAUUAUCCUCGCCCUGUGUCUUGUUUCCUCUCUUUAUUGGAGCUAGGCUCUCCUUGUAAUUGAAAACCCAACAGCCAGCAAUGUUAAGGUCCAGCUGAAAUCCAAGAUCUGUAACUUGUCUUGUUGUAGGGUCAUAUAGCACCAGCUGUGAAGUUUCUGUGAUCUCAAAAACCAUGUUAUCGUUAUCCCAGAUGUUGCGAGGCCAAUGAGCAUCUAUAUGAGGUUGUACAGUUAGAACUUUGGACCAAAUUCCCUCUUGUUCAUACCCACACAUCAUAUAUGGAUGUCAUAGGUUUGCCAGGGUCACCGGUUAAUAAAGCAAGUGAGUUGCCACGCAAUGUAAGCGUCCCCCAAUGUUCACUUGGAAUAUCUGGGACUUGCAUCUCCCUAAACUGUUCGCUGCCCAUGUCAAAAGAGCGAAUCGUGUAGAUCUCAUCAAGGCCCCUAGAAAGCCAAUAAUAAACCCCGUUGAGAUAAGUGGCAUCAAGGGGUGCAGAUAAGGUAGAACUGGAAGGGAAUUCAGGAGUUAGGUGUUUCCAUGAGUUGUUGCAUGAGGAAUAAACACAGGCAUAGACACGAGGACAAACACCUUGUCCCGGUUCAUCCCAGAAUACUCGAAUCCAUACAACCUUAUAAUCUUGAGUCAACAGGUCAAAUCCCAAUCCGAACUGAUGAUCAUGGUCCGAGAAAAAGUACUCAAUCUCAAAAGGCGCAGGCGGCAGAGACCUGAACUCUCUGGUGGCAGGAUUCCACAAACCCAAGCAGACAUUGUCUCCAUAAAACUUCUUCUGCACUAAGAAUAAGCCAUCAACUGGACCAGCAACACACGUGAAAUCAGCGACCCUCGGAAGCUGAAGGAGAGUUUUUUGUUCAGGGGUCACACCUGGAACAAUUUCUUCAGGGAGCAAGGAGAAUACAACAGACCUUACGAUGGCGUCUACUUCACGUGCUACUUUCAAGUUGCAAACAAGGAGACGGGCACGAUUGUUCUUGUGAUGAAAAUGUUUUUCUAUGAAACUCGGACUUUUGAUGAGAGCAUACCAGUGCUUGCACACACAUUUGAAAAGCAAGAGUGAUUCCACUGGCAAUCUCAAUAGAAUAUCAACUACUAGAUCUUCUGGUAAAGGACAGCGACCAUCCAUACUGGUGGAAAUAUAAGUAGAAUGAGGCAACUUACAAACAUAUUGAAAGAGAGCAGAUCUAGAAAACAUGCAUUAAUAGAACACACAGUGCAACAAAAAAGAUCAAGUAGUAGCAUUACCAUGUGAAGCAAAAAAGGGGAAGUUACAAAUUUGACCACUCAGCCACAAAUAUUUACAUCCGCAAGCCAUUACACAUAUAUUAUGGGUAUACAUAUUUUUAAAAAUAUUUUGACAAAUCUUCUUGUAGAUCAAUUUUGGAGAAAAGAUCCAAAAUAGUUCCUUAUGUUUGGCUUCAGACUCAAGGUCAUCCCUUCCCUUUCUUUUAUAUGGUGCACUAAUAGUCCUUUAAGUUUCAAGUAUUAGUGCACUUUUAAUCUCUUCAUUAACAUCCAUUUACUCAUUAACGUUUUGAUCCUUUACACAUCCAUUUAUGGCCUCCGCUGUAUACGUUCUGGUAUAACACAAAUUAAUUCUUAGAUUUAUCUUAGCAGUUGCAGAUGAGUCUUCAUUUGUACUUGUUUUAUUUUUUGGCUCUGCAUCUUUCAUUGUUUGGUGUGCACCAUUCAAGAUUUGCUAAUUCUUUAACUUUCUCCUCUAUUUUCCAUACGCAAUUAAUAAGCUGACUAUAAGUCUUUGGGUUUUCCUGAAUAAAAGCUGACUAUAUAUCUGAAACAUAACCAAAGAAUAAAAUAAAAACAAGAAAAAAGGAAAAAUAUAAUACAUACUUAGUCUUCGUGUAUCAAUAUCUCAAAUUAGCAUCGGAUAAAAGUGCACUAAUACUUAAAACUUUGGAGGACUAUUAGUGCACCAAUUGAUGAUUUCGAAUCUAAAGCCAAAAAUAAAGGACUAUCUUGUAUUUUUUCUUUCGAUUUGGGCUGAUAUGGUUUGGACGGAUCAAUAAUCAGCCAAAUAGAGUCAAUAAGAGGAGACUAGUAAAGAAGUAGUCAUGCGGUUUUCUAGUCUUUUCAUUAACUAGUCAAUAAUUAUUUUUAAAGCUACAUAUCAAGUUAGCAUAUAGAGCAAUUUUGCAGGUAAUUUAAGGAUUAAGGAGCAUGAAACAGUAAUUACCCUUUUCUACUAAUAUCAAUCUACAAAUCCUUGGAAAUGGAACAAUUUUAACUUGCCCAAUAUUGAAAUGUAAAAGAUGGAAAGAAAUAAAAAGAAUUAGCAUAAACAGAAACAAUGACAGCAAAACCCUAUAUCCAUCCCCAAAUAGCACAAAUUCAGAUUCAGAUUCAGAUUCAAAUUCAAAAAAAUAAUCAGAAAUCUAACCUUAUAAGCUGAUGAAGAAGAAGUGCCGCAAUUACGACAAGGUAAAAAUGGAAAAAGAGAUUGGAUUGAUUGAGUGGUGUUGUAGAAAUACCUCCAACAGUUGACUACUUCCUCACUUUCCUACACUUCUUUUGUCAUUUUAGUUUAUAUAACUCCCCUUAAUUCCUUUUAUCCAAGUUUUUAAUACCAAGGGAUAUGAUGGAGUAAUAAGUACUUAUUCAUUGUUAAUUAGAGGUCUUGGAUUUGAAUCUUUUGGCUAUGAAGUCAUCCGUGUUAGGGAGCACUUUACCCAUAAUGUGAGAUUUUUCGACUGGGCUCUAAUAUGGAUACCGAACAUUGAGCGAUUUUUCUUUUUUUACCUUAGUGGUCAUUUGGUAGGUGGAUAAAGCUACAUCUAAUACAUGAAUCACUACAAGAAAAGUGCUGAUUACCUGGGAAUUAUUGUAGAGAAUAUAUGAUAACCCUAAUGGGUGGAGGGAGGACCAAUUUAUAGAGGUUAUGAUUUAAUCUGGUAUAUCCAUCAAGUAACCAAUGUACGGACGAGAUCUAUUCCUUAUUAAAUAUUAUUUAUGGUAUUACUUGCGUUACUAGUAAACUUGAGCCAUAAGUAAGAAAUAAUUAAUAAUAAUUAAUAAUAAUUCUUACACUUCGGGGUGCCUUCGCCAUAGUUCAAGUCUGGAGUCGGCCAUUUCAGUUCUUGAAAGCUUUUAAUCUAGCUAGUGUUAUUCAUAGUACUUCCGUGUACUUAUCGACCUUAUGUGAGUCCAAACUCGUUUGAGUUAUACAUUUACUUUCUAAUUGUGCACGAGUAUACAUACUUUCUAGGCUUAUAGAGGUCCAGUUAGGUUAUAGAUUAUUGCUUUACUUUACUACUUCGUUCUUUUCAGACUCGUGAGCUAUAUAGUUAGACUUUCCGUUAUUGCUUUGUUCAUUUGACCUCUAAUUACUGUUACUUUCAUAUUCUUCAUAUUGUUUUUACUUUCCAAGUUCAGUUGACCUAUGAUGCCUACUGGACACCUGUUGUUCUGAUAUUCAUGCUACACUCCACAUCUGUUUUCUUGAUGUGGAUUUGAGCGCCAGCCGACAACGGUGAUUGGAGCCUAAGUAAUGCGGAGAUCUUCUGAGAUGAAUGGUGAGCUAAUGGCGUCCUAGUUCGACUUAUCUCCAUAUGUAUAUAAUUUUUUACAUGUCUUUUGUAUUCGAGACAAAUUUAUUAAGUUAGUCAAUAGCAUAGGCUCGAAACUAUGACUAGAACAUUGAGUGCAUGACAUGCACAUCUUACUCCUUACUUUCCUUAUUCGUGCCUGUUUUUUUCAUACUUUCUAACUUUCACUAGUACAUUAUCCCUUGUUAAGGAAAAUUAUGUAAACAAAAUAGUAAAUGGCCUGAUCCACUUAAGAGUGAGGGCUAGUUCAUUGAUUGAUACAGCUAAAUCACAUUAAAUAAUAAAUACGGAGGAGGGCCUAAAAUACCCUUCAAGUAUAGGUAAUGGAACAAAAAUACCCUCUUCCACCUUUAGGCUCCAAAAUACCCUUCCAUCCAUCUAUAUGGACCUAUAUUACCCUUUCACUUAACAGAUUCUUUAAGACUAAUAAUUAAUCUUUUCAUUAAUGAUGUGACAGUCUUUAAUUGGUUGAAAUUGGAAUUAACCAAAAUAAGAAUUUCUCUUAAUUAAACCCAGAUCCAACUAAAUUCCACCCGACUCACUUAAAAUUCUAUUGACCCAUAUCUUAAAUAAUCAAACUUCAAUCAACAACUUGCUCCAGUUAUUUUUAAUCCCAGUCAAAAAAGAGGUACAUUAGACCAUAAACAACAUGAAACUUCCGAAAAUUCCCUGGAAACAUUCCAAGAAGGAAGAAGUGAAAUACAAGAUCAAGUGCCACUAUAAUCAUAUACCAAUAUACACCAUAUUUUGAAACACUAUGAAAAGUCCAGCAAAUCUCCAAUCUCUGGGAAACAUAAACUCAAAGCGGUAAAAUUUCUCAAAAUCCGAAACCCUAGAGUUCAAAAAUUAUUUCACUUCUUUCUUUUUUGCGAUUCAUAUAAAGCACCGCACGCAAAAAGCAAAACCAACAUAAUUUUGGGAAAUUCUCAAAGCAGAAUCAUGGAAUAGAAUAUAAAAAAAAAAUAAAAAAUUUAGCCAUAGCAAGAGAUUAUAUACUUGAUGAAGAAAAGCGAUAGAUAUCGCUUUUCUUCAUCUGCAAAUUUUACGAGAAAAUUAUAUGGAGAGAAAUUCAGUGUACAGAGAAAAAAAAGGAAACUCACCGCUACACACUCGAUUCUUCUUGUUUUUUUUUAAAGAUAUGGGUCAGUAAAAUUUUACGUGGGUUGGGUAGAGUUUAGUUGGAUCCGGGUUUGAUUUGGAGAAAUUAUUGUUUUUGCUUAAUCUAAAUUCCAGCCAAUUAAAGAUUGUCACAUCAUUAAUGAAAAGAUUAAUUAUUACUCAUAAAAAAUCUGUUAAGUGAAAGGGUAAUAUAGGUCCAUAUAGAUGGAUGAAAGGGUAUUUUUGAGCCCAAAGGUGGAUGGAGGGUAUUUUUGUUCCAUUCCCUAUACUUGAAGGGUAUGUUAGGCCCUUCUCCGUAAUAUAUAUUACAUUUUUGAACUGUUAAACUAGAAACAAGAUUUAGGAUUUUUCAAGUGGACCAAAAUACAGAUAUUGAUGCCGAGUACUUAAAGUCUGUUGCUUGCCGAUACUCUAAAAGUAGUAGUGUAUUUUUGGAGAAUCUAACAUGAGUGGAGAGUACACGCGCAACUUAGCUUAAAUUGUGUUGGUCCAAAAGGAAUGCCCCUUGAUACCAUAAACAAAAAAUACCAUGUCAGCUUUUUAUUCAAUAAUAGUACAAAGAUGACUGAUCCAAACAAUUUUAAGCUCAAACACAAUGUUAUAAGAAGACAAGAUACGAACUAAUGUCACAAUAUUACAGGUAAAUCGUUUUUUUUUCUUCCUGUUUUUCAAUUAUUAUCAUUAUAGUAUUUUGUAUUCCAAAUCUUAACGAUACUCAUCCAUUGGUAUGGUAUAGAAGAAGUGUUCAAUUUGCUCGACCUCGCCCUGUGUCUCGUUUCCUCUCUUUAUUGGAGCUAGGCUCUCCUUGUAAUUGAAAACCCAACAGCCAGCAAUGUUAAGGUCCAGGUGAAAUCCAAGAUCUGUAACUUGUCUUGUUUUAGGGUCAUAUCGCACCAGCUGUGAAGUUUCUGUGAUCUCGAAAACCAUCUUAUCAUUAUCCAAGAUGUUGCGAGGCCAAUGAGCAUCUAUAUGAGGUUGUACAGUUAGAACUUUGGACCAAUUUCUGUCUUGUUUCAUUACCCACACAUCGUAUAUGGAUGUCAUUGGUUUACCAGGGUCUCCGGUUAACAUAGCAAGUGAGCCGCCAUGCAAUGUAAGUGUCCCCCAAUGUUCACUUGGAAUAUCUGGGACUUGCAUCUCCCCAAACUGUUCGCUGCCCAUGUCAAAAGAGCGAAUCGUGUAGAUCUCAUCAAGGCCCCUACAAAGCCAAUAAUAAACCCCGUUGAGAUAAGUGGCGUCAAGGGGUGCAGAUAAGGUAGAACUGGGAGGGAAUUCAGGAGUAAGGUAUUUCCAUGAAUUGUUGCAUGAGGAAUAGACACAGGCAUAGACACGAUUAUUAGCACCUUGUCCCAGUUCAUCCCAGAACACUCGAAUCCAUACAACCUUAUAAUCUAGAGUCAACAGGUCAAAUCCCAAUCCGAACUGAUGAUCAUGGUCCGAGAAAAAGUACUCAAUCACAAAAGGCGCAGGAGGCAGAGACCUGAACUCUCUGGUGGCAGGAUUCCACAAACCCAAGCAGACAUUGUAUCCAUAAAACUUCUUCUGCACUAAGAAUAAGCCAUUAACUGGACCAGCAACACACGUGAAAUCAGUGAUCCGAAGCUGAAGGAGAGUUUUUUGUUCAGGGGUCACACCUGGAACAAUUUCUUCAGGGAGCAAGGAGAAUACAACAGACCUUACGAUGGGGUGUACACGUGCUACUUUCAAGAUGCAAACAAGGAGGCGGGCACAAUUAUUCUUGUGAUGAAAAUGUUUUUCUAUGAAACUCGGACUUUUGAUGAGAGCAUACCAGUGCUUGCACACACAUUUGAAACGCAAGAGUGAUUCCACUGGCAAUCUCAAUAGAAUAUCAACUACUAGAUCUUCUGGUAAAGGACGGCGACCAUCCAUACUGGUGGAAAUAUAAGUAGAAUGAGGCAACUUACAAACAUAUUGAAAUAGAAUAGAUCUAGAAAACAUGCAUUAAUAGAACACACAGUGCAACGAAGAAGAUCAAGCAGCAGCAUUACCAAUGUGAAGCAAAAAAGGGGAAGUUACACAUUUGACCACUCGGCCACAAAUAUUUAUAUCCGCAAGCCAAUACACAUAUUAUGGGUAAACAUAUUUUUAAAAAUAUUUUGACAAAAUUUCUUGUAGAUCAAUUUGGGAGAAAAGAUCCAAAAUAGUUCUUUAUGUUUGGCUUCAGACUCAAAGUCAUCCCUUCCCUUUCUUUUAUAUGGUGCACUAAUAGUCCUUUAAGUUUCAAGUGUUAGUGCACUUCUAGUCUCUUGAUUAACAUCCAUUUACUCAUUAACGUUUUGAUCCUUUACACAUCCAUUUAUGGCCUCCGCUGUAUACAUUCUGGUACAAAACAAAUUAAUUCUUAGAUUUAUCUUAGCAAUUGCAGAUGAGUCUUCAUUUGUACUUCGUUUUAUAUUUUGGCUCUGCAUCUUUCAUUGUUUGGUGUGCAGUAUUCAAGAUUUGCUAAUUCUUUAACUUUCUCCUUUAUUUUCGAUACACAAUUAAUAAGCUGACUAAGUCUUUGGGUUUUUCCUGAAUAAAAGUUUCUUGCGCUUUGCCUAUAUAUCUGGAGCAUAACCAAAGAAUAAAUAAAAACAAGAAAAAAGGAAAAAUAUAAUACAUACUUAGUCUUCGUGUAUCAAUAUCUCAAAUUAGCAUCGGAUAAAGGGUGUGUUCCGUAGAAAAUAGUUUCUAAUCAAAAUUUUUGGAAAAGAUUUUCUUAGGAAAACAAGUUCCAUACGUGACACUUCAAAAUUCAAAUGAAGAAAAUGACUUUCUAAAGGAAGUAGGGAAAACAAGUUUCAUAUGUGACAUUUCAAUUGAGUAUGUCCUCCCACUCUCUAAGACACCACAUAUUCACCUCACUCCCGUAGCUUCCAUACCCACUACCCUACACAUCUACCCCACCUCCGUCCCUCAUAGUAUUGUCUAGAUAAUACAUAAAUGCUUUUAGAAUAAUAUUAAAUUUUUUUUGCUUAUAUACCAAACACAAAAUAUACAUAAGAAUCUCACUUAUUUUCCUAGAAAAUAUUUUUCAAAAAAUAUUUUCCUUGGUACCGUACACACCCAAAGUUCCAAUGUCCUCGGAUAAUAUCAGCCAAAUAGAGUCAAUAAGAGGAGACUAGUAAAGAAGUAGUCAUGUGGUUUUCUAGUCUUUUCAUUAACUAGUCAAUAAUUAUUUUUGAGCUACAAAUCAAAUUAGCAUAUAGAGCAAUUUUGCAGGUAAUUUAAGGAGCAUGAAACAGUAAAUACCCUUUUCUGCUAAUAUCAAUCUACAAAUCCUUGGAAAUGGAACAAUUUUAACUUACCCAAUAUUGAAAUGUAAAAGAUGGAAAGAAGUAAAAAGAAUUAGCAUAAACAGAAACAAUGGCAGCAAAACCCUAUAUCCAUCCCCAAACAGCACAAAUUCAGAUUCAGAUUCAAAUUCAAAAUAAUAAUCAGAAAUCUAACCUUAUAAGCUGAUGAAGAAGAAGUGGCGGACAAGGAAAAAAUGGAAAAAGAGAUAUCGGAUCGAUUGAUUGGUGUUGUAGAAAUACCUCAACAGUUGACUACUUCCUCACACUUCUUUCGUCAUUUUAUUUUACUACUUCUUGGGAACGCGUUUGUUCCUCUCCUUUUUUUUUCUCGCGUGUGUUCCUUAUUAUUAUUAAAUUUUUAUAUACUAAAAAGUUGAGUUAUAAAAUAGAAAAUGCUGAAAUUAACAAUAGUAGUUUUAUCAUUUAUAUUUUAUUUACUAAAUAAUAAAAAAUAUAUACUGGAGCAUUUUUUGUUAACCUUCAUUUGUUGUUUCUCACUCUCUUUUCUUCUCAUGUUGAAAUUUGAUUGUGCAAUUACCUUCCUAUGAUAACAUCAAUCUUUGUGAAAUUGGUUCUUAAAAAGCAAAUUCAAAUUUUAAUUUUGGAAGUGUUUUUACAUAAUAGUGGAGAAUGAUUCUUCAUAUUCAACUUUUAAUUUUGAAUUGUAAUGAACAAUUACUAUUCAAAUACAAAUCUAGUUUAUUUUUAACCUUACAUUUAUUGAAUCUUUAAUGUGUACGUUAAUGAUAUAUAAUAAUUUAUUAAUUAGGUAUUUGAUUUAGUGUAGGGGCAAAAUGGUAAUUCAACUAUACACUUUCGAGUUUUCACUUUUAAUAAGUAAUUAUAAUAUAUACAAAAGAUUAAACCAUUUGAUAUUAAAAAAAUAUAUGUAUGAGUAAUAAUUAACAUUCAAUGGCAAAAGAAUGUAUCACAUUCUCAUAAACAAUAUCUCUAAGGCAAAAGUAGACAUUCUAAUUUGGACAAUUACUACUUAACUACUUAUGGGUUCAGCCAAUAAUCUGGAGAUAGGAGUUUGACAAUUUUUCAGCCAUAGUUAAAAUUCUACAUCAAUAAUAAAUAGCUUCUUAUCACAGUAAAUAGACAUUUGAAUAAUUAAUAUAAAUUGAGCAACACAAACUUUUCAAAAUGACUUAUUCUAGAUAUAUAAUAGGGAAAAGGGUCAAAAUUACCCCUCAGUUUUGUUUUAUUGGUUAACUUUAUCCUUACCAUUAAAAACAAGUUAUUUUUACCCCUGUCGUCAAUAAACUUAACAAAUAUACCCCUCCUUGAACGGAAACCCCCAAAUCAAUUGAAAUUACCCGAUUUUAAUUGAAAUUAUCCAAUUUCUUUUUUAACCCGAACUAGAACCCAACCCACUAAACUAAACAAAUUAACCCAUUUCCAAUCUUCUUCAUCUCAGUGUUCUUGGCUAAGUACCCUAAGAACACUCACAAUCUUUAUCAUAGCUAACACAUAAAUCCUACAUUGUCUGACAAAAUCAAUUGAAAAGGUUCGUUGGUUGAAUGUAUAACAAGUAAAUUAUUUUUGCUGAACAACAUCCCGCCUCUCUCUGUUGUGGGGUUCAGCGAAGAACAAGCCACAGAGCAAGUAAAUGGAAAAGUUUCAAUUUACACAUCAUCAUUCAAUCCAAUGAAGAAAACCAUUUCUAGGUACCAACCAAAUUACUUUUUGAUUUGUUGUCAGUAGGCUGCCCCUAAAUGUGUACCCAAUAGUACAUCUAAUUCUUCUUUACCUGGCUCGUAAAUCAAUUCAGUGGCCCUCCAUGAUUCUUGUAUGUGCACGUAAAAUUAAGCUACAAUGGAGGGGAGGUUUUUCUUUUCUCUAUCUUUUUAUUUGUUCAAAAUGUUUCCAAUAUAUCAUCAUAUUUGAUGAGUACUGGAUAUUUGAUGAUUACUGAUUUCUUGUAUGUAGCAAAUCAUGUGAUUGAACGACUGCAGUGUUUAGCCUAGGCAACCUUCAACAAACAAUUUGGAGAUAAAUAUCAGGUCUUUUCGAUUGAUUUUGUUAGACAAUGUAGAAUUUGUGUUAGCUAUGAUAAAGAUUGUGAGUGUUCUUAGGGUACUUAGCCAUGAACACUGAGAUGAAGAAGAUUGGAAAUGGGUUUAUUUGUUUAGUUUAGUGGGUUGGGUUCUGGUUCAGGUUAAAAAAGAAAUUGGAUAAUUUCAAUUAAAAUUGAAUAAUUUCAAUUGAUUUGGGGAUUUCCGUCCAAGGAGGGAUAUAUUUGUUAAGUUUAUUGACGGCAGGGGUAAAAAUAACUUGCUUUUAACGGUAAGAGUAAAAUCAACCAAUAAAAUAAAGUUGAUGGGUAAUUUUGACCCUUUUCUCUAUAUAACAUAUAUGGACAAUUUGAGGAAUGAAUGUUUCAACACAUGAAUAAUAGACUAAUAAGGUCAAUAGAUUAUACAUAUAAAUGAAAAGUUAAAUAAAAAUACAGCCUCAAAAUCACAUACUAUGAUCCAUCAUUUAUCUCCAAUUCGGUGGCCCAGUUUAUUUUAGGGUAUGGAUUCUUUUAUUUUUAAAAAAAAAACAUAUUUGAUUUUUCUCAUUUAGUUAUUCCUCUCCCUACUCAUAAAUAAUAAUCUCGAAAAAAUAUUUUUACUAAAGUAGAACACUCUAUCAAGAGCCAAAUAAACAUAUCAAAUUAACUAAUUAAUCUUUCAUCAAUUAUUGAUAGAACAUGAAUUGUAUAUCACUACUUUCUUCAUGUAGGAUACAAGAUAUUUCAAUAGAAAAACAAAAUCAUAAGAAAGCAUAUCAAAAUAUAAAAAAAGGACAUAUAAAAUACUUUGGCUGGACAAGGAGGAGCGGAUAAAAACAAAAGGAAAUUACUGCACAUACAAAAUGAUGAGCAAGAUUAGUUUUUUGCAGGAUAGUCUCUCAUCCUCCUCUUAUCAUUUACAUGAAAACCAUGCUAGGCAUUUUAUAGCAAUAGCUAGGAUGACCUUUGAGUAGAUAAUUAAUUUGCAUUAAUUUAGUUUAAUGAUUUUAGUCCAUAUCAAAUUUAUUUAAUGGAAAACUCUUCAAAUACUCUUGAUUUUACAGAAAAAGAGAAAUUGACUAUUAAUGUGAAUUUGAUUCAUGUACCAAUUUAAAUGAGUUUAAUCUAAGGAAGUGAAAAAAUCAUUAACAUUUUUAUUAAAACGAUACAAUUUAAUAUUUAAAUUAAAUAGUUAAAUAUUUUAUAACAUUUUAAUUUAUAAUAGGGGUAAAACGGUAAUUCAACUUUUAACUUUUUUUAUUCCCGCUUAUAGUAAUAUAUGAUACAACUCCUCUUAAUUCCUUUUAUCUAAGUUUUUAAUUAUGUGGUGGAGUAAUAAGUACUUAUUCAUUCUUAAUUAGAGGUUCCAGUUUGAGUCUUUUUGGCUAUAAAAUCAUCUCUGUUAGAGCGCUUUACCCAUAAUCUAAGAUUUUUCGACACAAAUUCAAAUUUAGUGAGGCUCUAAUAUGGAUAUCGAACACUGAGGGGAAAAUAAAAAUAAAAAUUACCUUAGGGGUUAUUUGGUAGGUGGAUAAAGCUACAUCUAAUACAUGAAUAACAAAGUUAUUUAUGUAUUUAAUUUAUAUAAUGUUUGUAUAAAAGUUAUUCAUAUAUUAACAAAGAUGUUUCUCUCUACGAUAUGUUCCCACAGGAGAAAGAGUUUGUUACUUGAAGAGGGGGGGGGGGGAUGUUGNNNNNNNNNNNNNNNNNNNNNNNNNNNNNNNNNNNNNNNNNNNNNNNNNNNNNNNNNNNNNNNNNNNNNNNNNNNNNNNNNNNNNNNNNNGAAGGGGGGGGGGGGGUAUUUGGAGUCUUUUAGCCACAGUUCGAAGCCCUGACAUAUCGAUCUCUUUUAGCCACGGUUCAAGGUCCCAACGUAUUUUGUUUUGCCACGGUUCAAGGUCCCGACGUAUUUUAUUUUGCCACGGUUCGAGGCCCCAUCAUAUCUCUAUUCGCCUUGGUUCGAAUCCUAACAUGUGGUUCAUUUGGGUUCUUCGGGGUGCCUUCACCAAAGUUCAAGUCUAGAGUCAGCCAUUUUAAGUUCUUGAAAGCUUUUAAUAUAACUAGUGUUAUUCAUAGUACUUCUGUGUACUUAUCAGGCUUAUGUGAGUCCAAACUCGUUUGAGUUAUUUACUUUCCAAUUGCGCACAGGUAUACAUACUUUCUGGGCUUAUAGGGGUCCAGUUAGGUUAUAGAUAAUUGUUUUACUUUACUACUUUGUUCUUUCCAGACUCGUGAGCUAUAUAGUUAGACUUUCCGUUAUUACUUUGUUCAUUUGACCUCUAAUUACCGUUACAUUCAUAUUUUUCAUAUUGUUUUUACUUUCCAUGCCCAGUCGACCUAUGAUGCUACUGGGCACCUGUUGUUUUGAUAUUAUGCUACACUCCACAUCUGUUUUCUUGAUGUAGAUUUGAGCGCCAGCUGAUAAUGGUGAUUCGAGCCUAAGAAAUGCGGAGAUCUUCUGAGAUGAAGGGUGAGCUGAUGGCAUCCUAGUUCGACUUAUCUCCAUAUGUAUAUAGUUUUUUAAUGUCUUUUGUAUUCGAGACAAGUCUAUUAAGUUAGUGAAUAGCAUAGGCUCGAAACUAUGACUAGAACAUUGAGUGCAUGACAUGCACAUCUUACUCCUUAUUUUCCCUAUUCGUACCUGUUUUUUUCAUACUUUCUAACUUCACUGGUACAUUAUUCCUUGUUAAGGAAAAUUAUGUAAACAACUAGUUCUUUGAUUGAUACAACUAAUUCACAUUAAAUAAUAACUAGAAUCUUAUUACAUUUUUGAACUGUUAAACUAGAAACAAGAUUUAGGAUAAGGGAACUAUUUAUUAACUUCACUUCUCCUUAUUAGUGUCAAAAGUUUCUCGUUUAGGAAAUAUGAAGUUUUGAAGGACUAAUAGUAUAUUAUCCUUUUUUAAAAUUGAACUCUAUCCAAUGGUUGAUUCUAUUUAUGAAUCAAUUCCUUAGGUGCAUUAUUUCCAUAGGUUUCAACAUUGGUAACAAAAUCUAGCUUUCUCGCUUAAAUUGACAUAUUUCUAUACUUCCCUCAUCUUAUCUAUCACUGAGGCCGCUCCCAUCUUAUCCCUUAUAUCCUUAUUUAUAAUUUUUAUCGCUCCGAGUAUGAACGUGCAUCCACCUCAAUAUAUAUUCACAUCUCUGCAACAUGCAUCUUCUAGACAUGGGACUUGACUGGCCAACUCUCAUUUCCAUACAACAAUUACAUACACACUCUAUAUAAAUACACACAUACAUAUAUUGAUGGAAAAAUCAUCAACAGAUGAAACUUAAGCAAUACUCCCUCCAUCUCAAUUAAUGUGACAGUCGGAAUUUUGUCUUUUAAAUUGUUAAUUAUUGUGAUUUACCAUUUUUCACAUAAUUUUCAAAUACAUAAAUUUUAUAUCAAAAAAACUUAAAGUUUCUGUAUCCGAAUUUACUAUUAAAUUAUAGAAGUUUGAAUCUCAAAAUUUCAACUAAUGCCACAUAAAUUAAAUCAACUCCAACACUCAGAAAAGCUACAAAAGUUCAAACAUAGAAAGUAAAAAAAAAUUUAAAAAAGAAAUAGAAAAAACCUUGAGAUAAUAUGUCUUGCUAAUUUCCUCUUCAGAUGCUAAUUAAAGGACUUACACCAAGAACAUCAUAAUACUCUGUGUCUUUCACCAUUUUCUUUUCUUUUUCCAAAAUCCCUAUUAACAAAAAAUUUACUCUUUUACCUCCUCCAAUACUCUAAUUACCUUUUUUUUCGCGCUUCUAAAAUCUUAAUACAAGAGCGAAAAACCACUUGAGUGUAAGGAAAGGAAACAAGCCAAACGAAAAAAAAAAAAAAAACUCUCAAAAUUAUAUGAUCAAGAAAACUUGCAAGUACAAAAGGAGAAAGAGGAGGGGGUGGGUGGGGUAUGAUGAAAAGAAUGUCUCAGAAUAAGAGAGUGCCCCAACGAGACAAAGCUGCCUUUCCAGUUCUGAUCAACAAAUUAAUUACGGAAAAUCUGUUGCUUGUCGAUACUCUAAAAGCAGUGUAUUUUUGGAAUUAAGAGGAGUUGUAUAAACUAAAAUGACAAAAGAAGUGUAGGAAAGUGAGGAAGUAGUCAACUGUUGAGGUAUUUCAACAACACCACUCAAUCAAUCCAAUAUCUCUUUUUCCAUUUUUACCUUGUCGUAAUUGCGGCACUUCUUCUUCAUCAGCUUAUAAGGUUAGAUUUCUGAUUAUUUUUUUGAAUCUGAAUCUGAAUCUGAAUUUGUGCUAUUUGGGGAUGGAUAUAGGGUUUUGCUGCCAUUGUUUCUGUUUAUGCUAAUUUUUUUUAUUUCUUUCCAUCUUUUACAUUUCAAUAUUGGGUAAGUUAAAAUUGUUUCUUUUCCAAGGAUUUGUAUAUUGAUAUUAGUAGAAAAGGGUAAUUACUGUUUCAUGCUCCUUAAAUUACCUGCAAAAUUGUUCUAUAUGCUAACUUGAUAUGUAGCUCAAAAAUACCUAUUGACUAGUUAAUGAAAAGUCUAGAAAACCACAUGACUACUUCUUUACUAGUCUCCUCUUAUUGACUCUAUUUGGCUGAUUAUUGAUCCGUCCAACCCAUUUCAACCCAAAUCGAAAGAAAAAAUCCAAGAUAGUCCUUUAUUUUUGGCUUUAGAUUCGAAAUCAUCAAUUGAUGCACUAAUAGUCCUCCAAAGUUUUAAGUAUUAGUGCACUUUUAUCUGAUGCUAAUUUGAGAUAUUGAUACACGAAGACUAAGUAUGUAUUAUAUUUUUCCUUUUUUCUUGUUUUUAUUUUAUUCUUUGGUUAUGCUCCAGAUAUAUAGGCAAAGCACAAGAAACUUUUAUUCCGGAAAAACCCAAAGACUUAUAGUCAGCUUAUUAAUUGCUUAUGGAAAAUAGAAGAGAAAGUUAAAGAAUUAGCAAAUUUUGAAUGGUGCACACCAAACAUUGAAGAUGCAGAGCCAAAAAAUAAAACAAGUACAAAUGAAGACUCAUCUGCAAUUGCUAAGAUAAAUCUAACAAUUAAUAUGUUUUGUACCAGAACGUAGACAGUGGAGGUUAUAAAUGGGUGUGUAAAGGAUCAAAACGUUAAUGAGUAAAUGGAUGUUAAUGAAGAGACUAAAAAUGCACUGACACUUGAAACUUAAAGAACUAUUAGUGCACUAUAUAAAAGAAAGGGAAGGGAUGACUUUGAGUCUGAAGCCAAACAUAAGGAACUAUUUUGAAUCUUUUCCAAACAAUGUUAAGCUCAAACACAAUGUUAUAAAAAGGUAAGAUAAGAACUAAUGUCACAAUAUUACAGGUAAAUCGUUUUUUUUUCCUGUUUUUCAAUUUUUAUCACUAUAAUAUUCUGUAUGUCAAACUCUAAGAUCCUCAUCCAUUGGUAUGGUAUAGAAGUAGUGUUCAAUUUGCUCGACUGCAUUAUCCUCACCCUGAGUCUCGUUUCCUCUCUUUAUUGGAACUAGGCUCUCCUUGUAAUUGAAAACCCAACAGCCAGAAAAGAUAAGGUCCAGCUGAAAUCCAAGAUCUGUAACUUGUCUUGUUUCAGGGUUAUAUAGCACUAGCUGUGAAGUUUCUGUGAUCUCGAAAACCAUCUUAUCGUUAUCCCAGAUGUUGUAAGGCCAAUGAGCAUCUAUAUGAGGUUGAAGAGUAAGAACUUUGGACCAAUUUCCCCCUUGUUUCAUUACCCACACAUCGUAUAUGGAUGUCAUUGGUUUGCCAGGGUCACCGGUUAAUAUAGCAAGUGAGCCGCCAUGCAAUGUAAGCUUCCCCCAAUGUUCACUUGGAAUAUCUGGGACUUGCAUCUCCCCAAACUGUUCGCUGCCCAUGUCAAAAGAGUGAAUCGUGUAGAUGUCAUCAAGGCCCAUAGAAAGCCCAUAAUAAACCCCGUUGAGAUAAGUGGCGUCAAGGGGUGCAGAUAAGGUAGAACUGGGAGGGAAUUCAGGAGUAAGGUGUUUCCAUGAAUUGUUGCAUGAGGAAUAGACAUAGGCAUAGACACGAUUAUUAGCACCUUGUCCCGGUUCAUCCCAGAACACUCGAAUCCAUACAACCUUAAAAUCUUGAGUCAACAGGUCAAAUCCCAAUCCGAACUGAUGAUCAUGGUUCGGGAAAAAGGCCUCAAUCUCAAUAGGCGCAGGAGGCAGAGACCUGAACUCUCUAGUGGCAGGAUUCCACAAACCCAAGCAGAUAUCGUCUCCAAACUUCUUCUGCACUAAGAAUAAGCGAUCAACUGGACCAGCAAGACACGUGAAAUCAGUGAUCCUCGGAAGCUGAAGGAGAGUUUUUUGUUCAGGGGUCACACCUGGAACAAUUUCUUCAGGGAGCAAGGAGAAUACAACAGACCUUACGAUGGGGAGUACUUCACAUGCUACUUUCAAGUUGCAAACAAGGAGACGGGCACAAUUGUUCUUGUGAUGAAAAUGUUUUUCUAUGAAACUCGAACUUUUGAUGAGAGCAUACUAGUGCUUGCACACACAUUUGAAACACAAGAGUGAUUCCACUGGCAAUCUCAAUAGAAUAUCAACUACUAGAUCUUUUGGUAAAGGACGGCGACCAUCCAUACUAGUGGAAAUAUAAGUAAAAUGAGACAACUUACAAACAUAUUGAAAGAGAACAGAUCUAGAAACAUGCUUUAAUAGAACACGCAGUGCAACGAAGAAGAUCAAGCAGCAUCAUUACCAUGUGAAACAAAAAAGGGGAAGUUGCACAUUUGAUCACUCAGCCACAAAUAUUUACAUCAGCAAGCCAAUACACAUAUAUUAUGGGUAUACAUAUUUUUAAAAAUAUUUUGACAAUUUCUUGUAGAUCAAUUUGGGAGAAAAGAUCCAAAAUAGUUCCUCAUGUUUGGCUUCAGACUCAAAGGAUGGAGUAAUAAGUACUUAUUCAUUGUUAAUUAGAGUUCUCGGGUUUGAGUCUUUUUGGCUAUGAAGUCAUCUGUGUUAGGGAGCGCUUUACCCACAAUGUGAGAUUAUUCAGCACAAAUUCAAAUUUAGUGGGGGAUCUAAUAUGGAUACCAAACACCGAGUGGAAAACCAAAAAUAAAAAUAAAAAUGACCUUAGGGGUCAUUUGAUAGGUGGAUAAAGCUACAUUUAAUACAUGAAUAACAAAGUUAUUUAUGUAUUUAAUUUAUAUAAUAUUUUGUUUGUAAAAUGUUGUAUAAAAGUUAUUCGUGUAUUAACAAAGAUGUUUAUCUCUACGAUAUGUUCCCGCAGGAGAAAGAGUUUGUUAUUUGAAGAGGGGGGGGGGGUAUUUGGAGUCUUUUAGCCACAGUUCGAAGCCCUGGCGUAUCUCUUUUAGCCACGGUUCAAGGCCCCAACAUAUUUUUUUGGCACGGUUCGAGGCCCCAACAUAUCUCUAUUCGCCUUGGUUUGAAUCCUAACAUGUGGUUCAUUUGGGUUCUUCGGGUGCCUUCGCCAUAAUUCAAGUCUGGAGUCGGCCAUUUCAGUUCUUGAAAGCUUUUAAUCUAGCUAAUGUUAUUCAUAGUACUUCCGUGUACUUAUCGGACUUAUGUGAGUCCAAACUUGUUUGAGUUAUAUAUUUACUUUCUAAUUGUGCACGAGUAUACAUACUUUCUGGGCUUAUAGAGGUCCAAUUAGGUUAUAGAUUAUUGCUUUACUUUACUACUUUGUUCUUUUUAGACUCGUGAGCUAUAUAGUUAGACUUUCCGUUAUUGCUUUGUUCAUUUGACCUCUAAUUAUUGUUACUUUCAUAUUCUUCAUAUUGUUUUUACUUUCCAAGCUCAGUCGACCUAUGAUGCCUACUGGGCACCUGUUGUUCUGAUAUUCAUGCUACACUCCACAUCUGCUUUCUUGAUGUAGAUUUGAGCGCCUGCCGACAACAGUGAUUCGAGCCUAAGUAAUGCGGAGAUCUUCUGAGAUGAAGGGUGACCUAAUGGCGUCCUAGUUCGACUUAUCUCCAUAUGUAUAUAAUUUUUUCCUAUCUUUUGUAUUCGAGACAAGUUUAUUAAGUUAGUCAAUAGCAUAGGCUCGAAACUAUGACUAGAACAUUGAGUGCAUGACAUGCACAUCUUACUCCUUAUUUUCCUUAUUCGUACCUAUUUUUGUUCAUACUUUCUAAAUUUCACUAGUACAUUAUCCCUUGUUAAGGAAAAUUAUGUAUCCAGAAUAGUAAAUGGUCUGAUCCACUUAAGAGUGAAGGCUAGUUCAUUGAUUGAUACAUCUAAAUCACAUUAAAUAAUAUAUAUUACAUUUUUGAACUGUUAAACUAGAAACAAGAUUUAGGAUUUUUCAAGUGGACCAAAAUACAGAUAUUGAUGCAGAGUACUUAAAGUCUGUUGCUUGCCGAUACUCUAAAAGUAGUGUAUUUUUGGAGAAUCUAACAUGAGUGGAGAGUACAUGCGCAACUUAGCUUAAAAUGUGUUGGUCCAAAAGGAAUGCCCCUUGAUACCAUAAACAAAAAAUACCAUGUUUGCUUUUUAUUCAAUAAUAGUACAAAGAUGACUGAUCCAAACAAUUUUAAGCUCAAACACAAUGUUAUAAGGUAAGAAAAGAACUAAUGUCACAAUAUUACAGGUAAAUCGUUUUUUUUCUUCUUCCUGUUUUUCAAUUUUUAUCAGUAUAAUAUUAUGUAUUACAAAUCUUUAAGAUCCUCAUCCAUUGGUAUGGUAUAGAAGAAGUGUUCAAUUUGCUCGACUGCAUUAUCCUCACCCUGAGUCUCGUUUCCUCUCUUUAUUGGAGCUAGGCUCUCCUUGUAAUUGAAAACCCAACAGCCAGCCAUGUUAAGGUCCAGCUGAAAUCCAAGAUCUGUAACUUGUCUUGUUUUAGGGUCAUAUAGCACCAGCUGUGAAGUUUCUGUGAUCUCGAAAACCAUCUUAUCGUUAUCCCAGAUGUUGCGAGGCCAAUGAGCAUCUAUAUGAGGUUGUACAGUUAGAACUUUGGACCAAAUUCCCUCUUGUUUCAAUACCCACACAUCAUAUAUGGAUGUCAUAGGUUUGCCUGGGUCACCGGUUAAUAAAGCAAGUGAGUUGCCACGCAGUGUAAGCGUCCCCCAAUGUUCACUUGGAAUAGCUGGGACUUGCGUCUCCCCAAACUGCUCGCUGUCCAUGUCAAAAGUGCGAAUCGUGUAGAUCUCAUCAAGGCCCGUACAAAGCCAAUAAUAAACACCGUUGAGAUAAGUGGCGUCAAGGGGUGCAGAUAAGGUAGAACUGGAAGGGAAUUCAGGAGUAAGGUGUUUCCAUGAAUUGUUGCAUGAGGAAUAGACACAGGCAUAGACACGAUUAUUAGCACCUUGUCCCAGUUCAUCCCAGAACACUCGAAUCCAUACGACCUUAUAAUCUAGAGUCAACAGGUCAAAUCCCAAUCCCAACUGAUGAUCAUGGUGCGAGAAAAAGGCCUCAAUCUCAAAAGGCGCAGGAGGCAGAGACCUGAACUCUCUGGUGGCAGGAUUCUACAAACCCAAGCAGACAUCGUCUUCAUAAAACUUCUUCUGCACUAAGAAUAAGCCAUCAACUGGACCAGCAACACACGUGAAAUCAGUGAUCCUCUGAAGCUGAAGGAGAGUUUUUUGUUCAGGGGUCACACCUGGAACAAUUUCUUCAGGGAGCAAGGAGAAUACAACAGACUUUACGAUGGGGUGUACUUCACGUGCUACUUUCAAGUUGCAAACAAGGAGACGGGCACAAUUGUUCUUGUGAUGAAAAUGUUUUUCUAUGAAACUUGGACUUUUGAUGAGAGCAUACCAGUGCUUGCACACACAUUUGUAACGCAAGAGUGAUUCCACUGACAAUCUCAAUAGAAUAUCAACUACUAGAUCUUCUGGUAAAGGGCGGUGACCAUCCAUACUGGUGGAAAUAUAAGUAAAGUGAGAAAACUUACAAACAUAUUGAAAGAGAACAGAUCUAUAAACAUGCUUUAAUAGAACACACAAUGCAACGAAGAAGAUCAAGCAGCAACAUUACCAUGUGAAACAAAAAAUUGUAAGUUACACAUUUGACCACUCGGCCACAAAUAUUUACAUCAGCAAGCCAAUACACAUAUAUUAUGGGUAUACAUAUUUUUAAAAAUAUUUUGACAAAAUUUCUUGUAGAUCAAUUUGGGAGAAAAGAUCCAAAAUAGUUCUUCAUGUUUGGCUUCAGACUCAAAGUCAUCCCUUCCCUUUCUUUUAUAUGGUGCACUAAAUAGUUUCAUUUUCUGGCAUUCGAAAUCCUUUUUAUUACAGUUCUAUAUUUGAUUCUGUAUCAUAUAUAUAUAUAUAUAUAUUUAUCCCUGUCGUCGCCUUAGAUUCAUUGGCCUGAAUUUGAACAUUUAUGUAGCUCGGAACACUCAAAUAUCCGCCGCACUAUACCUUGAUUGCUUUUGACUACAUCUAUGACCAGUAAGUACAAGAUUGAUUGGGUAUUUGGUUUGAUUUUUGAGUUUGUCAUAUAUAUACAUAUGAAGCACUUUGUUAUUACACGAUAUAUCUUAUGAAUAAUAUAGGCAAUGUUUAUGAAGAAUUAGUUUUUAAAAGUUUUAGUUCAAUAACUUUGAUUAAUAUAUAUACUUGUAUGUGUUUGUAUAUACAUUUAUUUCUGGUAUCUCAGCACAUGUAUCAUACCCCAAAUCCUAAAAUUCAUGUGAUGAAGAAUUUGACUUUUAGAUCCGCAACCGUUUUGGGUCCAAGCAAUUUUCUUGUGUUAGAAUCUAAAAGCUGAUUUUCAUUUCUAAAAUCGUAAGUUAAGAAACGAAAGAAAAAAAAAAUACAGAUUUCCAUCUUAAAAAUUUGAAGUCUUCCCAUUUUCUAGUGAACAAGCGGUGAUUUGCUUUUCUAAUUUUUUCCUCACUUUUAAAAAGUGUCUUUUUCCUUAUAGGAAAUAUUUUCCAAAACAUUUGAUCAACCGAACAUAGCAAAAUUGGAAAACAUGUAUCGAACACACACAGAUAAAUACAGAUUUCCAUUUUAAGUCUUCCCAUUUCUUAGUAAAGAAGUGGUGAUUUACUUUUCUAAUCUUUUUAUUAGGCAAUCAAUGAUUUUCUUUUUGUAUUUUCAACGUGGAAUGUUACUAGUGCAACUUAUUUUCCCUACUUUCAUCAUAGAAGUAAUUUAAUCACUUUUAAGGAGUUUGUUUUCUAUAGAAAAUAGUAUUUUCUAAAACAUUUGACCAACGAAAAAAAAGAGAAAAUUGAAAAACAUGUAUCGAACACAACCUACAUCAAUUUUGAAACAGAAAGAGAGAAAUGAAAAGUGAAAAAUGGUGGAAGGAGACAUAUAUAUGUGCCAUCUAAUUUAAGAGCAAAAGCAUAACGUAGAGAAAGAGAGCAGCAAAACACAAAUACAGAAAAUUGAAAUCUAACCUGAGGAAGAAGAGCCGUAAAUGAGAAAUGAGAGUAGUGAAGAAGAGGCAAAAAGCUUUGUCUAUUUAUACUACCUACUAAUUAAUUUAGGACCAAAAAUUUCCAAAGUAUUUUUUUUCUUAGAUUUUGUGUCUAGUCAAAAGAAUGUCAUUACCACUAAGCCCAUUUUCUCAUCUAAUUAAUUAUUGUCUCUAUUGCAAGAGUUUUAUUUGAGGUGUUUCACACCCUUUAAGAAAAGUAGAUUAAGACAUAAAUUGAACAUACUUUUCCAUUUUUACCCUUAUUAAUUAUUGUCAAAUUUAUUGAAGUCAUCACAUUGAAAAUCCAAAUGAAGGGUAAAAUUGGAAGAAUAUUUUAAAAAUAGUCUUGAAGAUUGAACAAUUAAGUUAAUUUGAAAAAUGGAAAAUGCCUCAAAAAUUCAAUUAAUAUGGAAUGAAGGGAGCAUACUAUAAGUGGGAAGCUCCUAAUCUCAAAGUUGAUACAAAAAUACCUUUUACUAUUUUUUUUAUUAAAUAAAUAAUUAAAGUUAAUUAGACCAAAUUUACAUGAUUAGCUGUUAGAGUUUAUCAUUUCUUAAUGAGGCUUUAAUUGUUAUCCUUUGAGCUUCUUCCAUUUACACUUAUUCAAACAGUAGUUUAAUGCUUCACACUUAAGUUAUGAUUCUUCUACCUUUCAUCCUCCGCAUUAUUCUUUCAUCUUCCGCAUUAAUAAUUUUCUCUUAAAACCUUUUCUUAUUCCUUACAUUGCAAUACUCUCUAAAAGCUUACAAGAAGUUGUCUUAGCCCUAUUAUUCUAUUUGUGUUCUAUCGGUCAGAAAUUUCCCUUUUUCAGGUAUAUCUAUGAUUUAUAUGUAUCUAUAUGUGGUUUAAAUCUCAUUCUUGAGAUGGUAUAUGUUAUUUAAUAUUAAAAUAUAAUUAUCUUUUAAGUUGGAAUUAUUUGUCCCAAUGAAAGAUUUAGUAAUGUACAAUACACUUUUCACUGAAUGUUAUAAACACGGAGAUUAAUUGUUUUAAAUGGAUAUACUUCCGUGCAUAUUGUCAGAGAGUAAUUCCUUUAAUACUUUGUUAAUUUUAUUCUGUUAGAAAUUUAAUUUAUUAUCUACUUGAAUAUUGCAAUUUGGUGUAGAAGCUUUUAGAUUAAAGGACUUUUUAAUCGUUUUUAAACUGAAAGACUACAUCAUGUUUGCAUAAGAAAAAGUUCAAAUGAAAUUCAAAUAAAAAUAUCAAUUUAUCAAUUUUUCGUUCUCCAUAUAUAGGUUUUAUUGACGGGAUGCUAGGUAUCCAAACAACCUCUCUUUUUAAAGAAAUAAAUUUUCUCUAUCUUUUUAUGACAAAUGAAGAAAUUUUCUCUAUCUUUGUUAUGACAAAUGUUAUAGGCUUAGACUUUGAUCUUCAUCUUCAAUUAUUAUUACAUACAAUUUAUAAUUAACUUGCUACAAUGGGCAUAUCACUUACGUUAUUAUAUAUUAAUACUUAGCGAUAAAUUCUUCUUUCUAUAGGUCAUUUUUGAAAAUGCUUAAAGUAAAAAAUGAUAUUAAUAUAAAAAAUUGUGUCGCAUAUAAGUUGAUACAAAAAAACACCAAGAACUAGAUAGAUAACAAUAGAUCUACAAUAAAAGUUUUGAUCAUGAUAAAGAAAUUGAAACAUCGAAGUAGAACAUAUACAAUUAAAAAUAACAUCUAUAAGAAAGUAUUAGGUAAAUAUAAUUAUAUCACAUAUUUACACCUAAUAGUAUUACUAAUGAACUCAUUUUAUACUGUGCAUAUCUAACUAAAUUAUAUGGGUACACUUUUCAAGUUUAGAUGACAUCGAAUAAUCAACUCAAUUUUUUGACUAUUCUUUAAAUUGAGCAUGUAAGUCUUUUCAUAUUAAAUUUUCUAUUUAUCAUUAUACACAUAUUUUAAUAUUAUCUUUAUCUAUAUAUAUACUAAUUUACACCGGAGAUAACACUUAUUAGAGACAUUUUUUGAUUAUCUAGAUUGUUAUAAAUGAUAUUACCAAUUAAAUUAGGAUACAGGUGCAUGACACGUGGCCAGAAACUAGUACAGUAAAACCUCUAUAAAUUAAUACUCGGUAAAUUAAUAAUCUCUCUAAAGUAAUAUUUUUCUCCGGUCCCGACUUGGGCCAAUGAAAAAAAUUCUCAAUUUCGAUAAGAUAAUAAGAUAUAUAUUUCCAGAAGACCCCUAUAUAAAUAUAUGGUCCCAUUGAUAUCAUAAAUUAAUAAUUCUUUAAAAGUACAAAUAUAUCUAAGACAAUUUAGUGAAAUAUGAUUCUAUUGUGUUCUGUUUUUUUCUUAAAAUUUAAAUCUAGUUGAAACUCAUCUCUAACUUUUCUUAUUGCAUCCAAGAGCUCCGAUAUUAUCUUUUCGAACUGCACUAUAAAAUUGUGAAGAGUUCUAGAUGCGAUAAGUGCUUCAUUACGCGCAACUGGUUCCAAAGGUAUAAUAUCAUCUUCAACUUCAUCAACAACAUUGCUUUUUCCGAUGGUAUCUGUAACACCCGUAACUAGAAAGAACUAAAAAGGAAUUUUUAAAAAGAGGAAAUAGUCAUUUUUGGAAAGUAUAAAAAUUUUGAAAUUUUCAAGUGUGUUAAAGUUGAGUUUUUGGUCAACUUCAAAUAACCAUAACUUCUAGCUCAUGAUGAGUUAGGUGUGUUUCCAAAUAUCUUAGAAAUAUCUUGGAAUAAUCUUUCCAACGCCGCCAAGUUUACGCGAUUCCGAGUUCGUAUGAGUGAGUUAUUCCCUUUGGAAGUUGGGCUGUUCAAAUAAUAAUGUCCAAUCCGGAUUUUUAAAGGGUGUUUUGGUCUUUUCCAUACCCUAUUAUUUUAGUUCGUUUUUGGUGAAUUAAUUAAGGGUCAAAACUGAAUUGGUUCAGUUUAGGCAAUUGGAGAUUUAUGCUAGGGUUUUUGGAGAAAGAACGCAAGAGGAGAAAAGAGGAGAAAGAGCAAAGUUCGUCGUUCUUGAAGGUUUAGCUUGUGGAUUUCGACAAGGGUUGAUCCCUAAAGAGGUAUGUGAGUCUUUCAUAGCAUUGAGUUCGUUCACUUACGGGCCAAUCAUGUUUAUUUCAUCGUAAAUUCGUCCUAAAAGAGUUUGAAAGUUGAUGUUCUUGACAUCUGUUCUUGAAUUUGAUAUUAUUCUUGAGUUGAGCUGAAAUUGAGAAGUUUCUGAGAUCAUUACGUCAAAUUAUUGAGUUGGUUGAAGUUAGGAUUUUAGGUACAUUUGCUGGGUAUCUGUAUCUAAAAAGAAUUUGGGAAAAAGAAUCGAAUUUGGGCGAAUUAGGGUUGGAAAAUGAAGAAGAAAAUUCGUCGGGCAAAUCUGGGAUCAUUACGUCAAAUUAUUGAGUUGGUUGAAGUUAGGAUUUUAGGUACAUUUGCUGGGUAUCUGUAUCUAAAAAGAAUUUGGGAAAAAGAAUCGAAUUUGGGCGAAUUAGGGUUGGAAAAUGAAGAAGAAAAUUCGUCGGGCAAAUCUGGGCACUGGUUCCGCGUCGUGGACCUGCUCCCCAGAUUUAAGAAAAGUCAUUUCGCGUUGCGGUCAUUGACCGUUCUGCCUCAAAAAGUAUUUUUGCGACCAAAAUUUAAAUACGCCUCCGCGUCGUGGACUAGUUUCCAGGCAGUGAUUUCUUGAUCAUUUCUCAUGUUUAGCUAUCUAAAAUCAUUCCUAAACAUCAUGAGAUCUUUCCUGUCACAAAUCUCAAUCCUUGAACCCACAAUUCAAUUCAAGGAGCAGUUAAUAGUCAAGAGAAGUUCAUAGAGUCUUCCAAGGGUCUUUUACAAAUAUUUUAACUUUGUNNNNNNNNNNNNNNNNNNNNNNNNNNNNNNNNNNNNNNNNNNNNNNNNNNNNNNNNNNNNNNNNNNNNNNNNNNNNNNNNNNNNNNNNNNNNNNNNNNNNNNNNNNNNNNNNNNNNNNNNNNNNNNNNNNNNNNNNNNNNNNNNNNNNNNNNNNNNNNNNNNNNNNNNNNNNNNNNNNNNNNNNNNNNNNNNNNNNNNNNNNNNNNNNNNNNNNNNNNNNNNNNNNNNNNNNNNNNNNNNNNNNNNNNNNNNNNNNNNNNNNNNNNNNNNNNNNNNNNNNNNNNNNNNNNNNNNNNNNNNNNNNNNNNNNNNNNNNNNNNNNNNNNNNNNNNNNNNNNNNNNNNNNNNNNNNNNNNNNNNNNNNNNNNNNNNNNNNNNNNNNNNNNNNNNNNNNNNNNNNNNNNNNNNNNNNNNNNNNNNNNNNNNNNNNNNNNNNNNNNNNNNNNNNNNNNNNNNNNNNNNNNNNNNNNNNNNNNNNNNNNNNNNNNNNNNNNNNNNNNNNNNNNNNNNNNNNNNNNNNNNNNNNNNNNNNNNNNNNNNNNNNNNNNUUAGAUGAUUCUUUAGUGCUUUUUAGCAUAGACUAGUGGAUCCACUUAGUAGUUUAGGUUCUAUACUCAUGGCAAGGUAUAUGAUGUCCUUGGCAGUGUGAGGCAAAACGUUGUAUCAUCACAAUAUCUCUUAAGUGAUGGUUGUCGGUUAGAGAAACUCCCACACAAGUAUUUUGUAUUCUUAUAUACACAGAUUAUUUGUAAUUUCAUAUAAAAUAGAGUUCAUAUUGUAUCUUUGCAUACAUACAAAGUUAUUAUUGUAUUUCUAGAUACAUAGAGUUUCUUUCCAUGUUUUAAAAGCUUUUCUUUAUAUUGCAUUUAUAUUACUGCUUUAGUUGAGUUGAGACUAGGUUUGUCGUACAUUCCAUGUACUGAUGCCAGUUGGCCUGCAUCGUUUUAUGAUGCAGACGUAGGUAACUAGGAUCAACAUCCAGUGCAUCGUUGAUCCAGUUGAGCACUCAGAGUCUGGUGGUGAGCCUCCUUUGCUUUUCCGGAGGAUCCCCUUUUUAUUGCUUUCAGUAUUUGAUUUCAUUAGGAUGUCGUGGGUCUUGUCCCGACAUCUAUAUCAGUUUUAGAGGCUUCAUAGAUAGACAAUCAGAUGUUAGUUAUUUUAGUAAUUUCAUUGUCAUUAUCUUAUGUUGAGACUUGUGUUUGCCUUAAUGGCCAGUUGAAUGUUCAUUUAUAACAUUCCAGUUUAUUACAUAGAUUUAUCUUUGUUGAGUUAAGUCUUCCGCUGAGUAAGUAAGCCAGGCCAAGGGUUUUCUUGGGGCCAACAAUGGUUCUCGAGUGCUAGCCACGUUUGGGGUGUAGGCUCGGGGUGUGAAAAACUUGGUAUCAGAGCAUAGAGUUCAAGAGUCCUAGGGAGUCUAUGAAGCCGUGUCUGUAGAGUCCUAGUUAUCGGUGUGAAGCGCGCCACAUCUAUAAUAGGAGGAUGCAACAUUUAGGAACUAUCUCACUUCUUUCACAUCCAUUUCGUGCGAUAAAGUUAAUCUCUAUAAAGUUUCUUCCAAUUCGUGGUUGUGCGUGUAUUUCAGAUCAUGCCUCUACGAAGAGCUGUCAAAGGUCGUCCGACUAGAAGGAAGGUUGAACCACAGGAACAAGGGGUACCUAAUGCACUAGAAGUGUAACCCCAAUGAGACGUCACCAAUGCUGAGUUCCUUGAGGCCAUUCAGAUGUUGAGCCAAGUUGUGACCAACCAAGCUGGGCAACAGAGAGAGAAUCUUCAGGAAGUGGCUGAUACUUCUAGAGUUUAUGAGUUCUUAAAGAUGAAUCCUCCAAACUUCACAAGUUCAAGUGUCAGCUUUAGACCUAAGGGGAGAUGACGAGAUGAAAAAUCAAGUCAAGUGUUUGAGAAUAAGAUAGUAAUGAGUCCCAAAAAGUAUGGGAGAUAUCUUUUCAGAAGACUUUUAGUAGUGAAGUGAUGUUAAAAGGAAAAGGCUAAUGAUCCAUGUGCAACAAGUUGAGGAGGACAAGCUGAGGGAUAGAGAAUAGUUUAAGAAUAAGAGGGCGAAGACAUCAGGGAAUGAGUCCGGGUGGCAGAAGAGUAAUGCCAACCGGUCUUCCUUCCAACAGAAACAAAAGUGACCUGCUCCAUCAUCUACUAGUGCACCUGUACCAAGAAACAAAUGUGAGUACAAUAGUCAGAAUUCCCAGAAUUUUAGAGCUAGACCUGCACAUUCUCAAGGCAGUGUUGCAUAAGGAGGUAAUGAGACUCAUGCAUAUGCUAAGUGUGGUCGGAACCACUUAGGGGUGUGACGGGAUGACUCCACUGGUUGCUUCAAGUGUGGUCAAGACAAUCAUUUUAUGAGAGAGUGUCCUGAGAACAGGCAGGGUAAUGGUAAUGGGAGACAAUAGAGCCCAGUCUUCUUCAGUUGCUCCACCAGACAGAGCUGCACCUAGAGGAGCUACUUCAAGUACUGGCGGAGGAGCAAACCACCUAUAUGCUAUCACUAGUCGCCAAGAGCAAGAGGAUUCACCAGAUGUUGUUACUGGUAUGAUCCAAGUCUUUAACUUUGACGUUUACGCUUUGCUAGAUCCAGGAGCGAGUUACCAUUUGUAACUCCAUAUGUUUCUAUGAAUUUCAAUUAUAUUCUGAGCAACUUAGUGUACCCAUCAGUGUUUCUACACCUGCUAGUGAGUUUAUUCUAGUAGAAAAAGUCUAUCGUGAUUGUUCCAUUUUCGUUAAUCACAAGAGUACCAUGACUGAUUUAGUUGAGUUAGACAUGGUAGAUUUUGAUGUCAUUCUAGGUAUGGAUUGGCUUCAUGCCUGUUGUGCCUCAGUUGAUUGUAGAACUCGAGUUAUCAAGUUUCAGUUUCCAAAUGAGCCAGUCUUAGAGUGGAAAAGUAGUUCAACAAUGCCUAAGGGUCGUUUCAUUUCAUACCUUAAGGCAGGAAAGUUAGUUUCCAAGGGGUGUGUCUAUCACUUAGUCCGAGUUAAUGACUCUAGUGUUGAGAUACCUCUUAUUCAGUCAGUUCCAGUAGUAAAAAAGUCUCCAGAAGUCUUUCUAGAUGAUCUACCCGUAGUCCCUCAUGAGAGAGAAAUAGACAUCGGUAUAGACCUUCUUCUAGAUACUCGUCCUACAUCUGUUCUGCCAUACUGAAUGGCACCAGUAGAGUUAAAAGAGUUGGAAGAGCAGUUGAAAGAUCUCCUUGAUAAAGGCUUUAUUCAACCAAGUGUCUCACCUUGGGGAGCUCCGGUCUUAUUUGUGAGAAAGAAAGAUGGUUCCCUUAGGAUGUGUAUAGAUUACCGUCCGUUGAACAAGGUUACCAUCAAGAACAAGUAUCCUCUUCCGAGAAUUGAUGAUUUUUUCGAUCAACUUCAGCGUGCCACCUGUUUCUCUAAGAUAGAUCUCAAAUCUGGCUACCAUCAGUUAAGAGUAAGAGAAUGUGAUAUUCCAAAGACAACUUUCAGAACCCGUUAUGGUCAUUAUGAGUUUCUAGUCAUGUCCUUUUGUUUGACCAAUGUGCCUGCAACAUUCAUGGACCUUAUGAAUAGAGUAUUCAAACCUUAUUUAGAUAUGUUUGUUAUCGUCUUCAUUGAUGACUUACUAAUCUAUUCAAGAAAUGAAGAAGAUCAUGCUAGUCAUCUCAUAAUAGUUCUCCAGACCCUAAAAGAUAAAAAAGUUGUAUGCUAAGUUCUCGAAAUGUGAGUUUUGGCUUGAGUCUGUGGCAUUCUUAAGCCACAUUGUGUCUGGAGAGGGAAUUAAAGUUGAUACUCAGAAAAUUGAGGCAGUACAGAAUUGGCCUAGACCCACAUCUCCAACUGAUAUUAGAAGUUUCUUAGGUUUGGCUGGAUAUUAUUUCAUCCCCUUUGACCAAGUUAACUCAGAAAACAGUUAAGUUUCAAUGGUCUGAAGCUUGUGAGAAAAGCUUUCAGGAGUUGAAAAAGAGGUUGACUACUGCCCCAAUAUUGACCUUACCAGAAGGUACGCAAGGCUUUGUUGUAUAUUGCGAUGCAUCCAGAGUUAGUUUGAGUUGUGUGUUAAUGCAGAAUGGUAAUGUUAUAGCUUAGGCCUCCAGACAGUUGAAAGUUCAUGAGAAGAAUUACCCAACCCAUGAUUUAGAGUUGGCUGCUGUAGUUUUGCUUUGAAAAUAUAGCGUCAUUAUCUUUAUGGUGUUCAUGUGGAUGUGUUCACCAAUCACAAGAGUCUUCAAUAUGUGUUUAGUCGGAAAGAGCUUAAUCUCAGACAAAGGAGGUAGUUAGAAUUACUCAAGGAUUAUGACAUGAGUAUUUUUAUCACCCAAGUAAGGCUAAUGUUGUUGUUGAUGCCUUGAGCAGGUUGUCUAUGGGUAGUACCGCCCAUUUUGAGGAAGAUAAGAACGAGUUAGCAAAAGAGGUGUAUAGACUUGCAUGACUAGGAGUUCGACUAAUGGAUUCCACAGAAGGAGGAGUAGUGGUGAUGAAUGGGGCUGAAUCAUCAUUAGUGUCAGAAGUGAAAGAGAAGCAAGACCAAGAUCCUUUAUUUCUUGAAUUAAAAGGCAAGUGUUCAUAAGCAAAAAAGUGAUGGGUUUUGAGAGAUGGUGUUUUGAGGUAUCAAGGUGGAUUGUGUGAUUGAUUUCAAGGGUAAUUUGGGAUGAUCCCCUACCUCUCAUUAAGUUUGCUUACAACAAUAGUUACCAUUCUAGCAUCCAAAUGGCUCCAUAUGAGGAUCGGAGAAGAUGCAGAUCUCUUAUUGGAUGGUUUGAAGUUGGUGAAGUUGGGUUGAUAGGUCCAGACUUAGUUCAUCAGGCUAUGGAGAAGGUGAAAGUUAUUCAAGAGAAGUUGAAAAUUGUCACGACCCGAGCCUACACCUAGACGUGGCCGGCACUCGAGAACCAUUGCUGGUCCCCAAGCGAACCCUUAUCCUGGCUAACUACAAGCGGAAAACUGAUUCAAGCAUACAAAGCUUAAAACUGAAUAGCAUUCAUGAAACUGAAAUACAAAGCUUUAACUCAAAUGAAAAACUCUGAAUAAAAUAAUAUAUUCAACUCGCCAUAAAAUAGGCAACUUAAGUCUUUAAAACAUUUAAUAAAAUAAAUGAAUAAUACAAACUUCUCAACUAUACUAACUAUCUAUGAAGCCUCUAACUGAUAAAGAUGGAAGUCGGGACAAGACCCACGACCUCUUAACUAAACUAAAAAGUAAAUGAAAUCCUCCGAAAACGAGGAGGCUCACCAUAGCUAACUCGAACUCCCGGAUGUGUCAACGAAUCUCCUGUUGAUGAUCCUGAAUACCUGUGUCUGCAUCAUGAGAAGAUGCAGGCCAAAUGGCUCAGUACGCGGAAUGUACGAGCUUGUAAGAGGAAUUCUAAAGCAUAAACAUAAGCUUGAAACUUGAUAAAAAUGGAAAAUACUUGCCUCUUUUCAAACUUACUCAACUCAAGGAAUACUCAAGGAUACUCAAAACUACUCAAACGUACUCAACUCAGAAGUACUCAAAGAUAAGAUACUCAACUCAAAGAUAUGUUAUUCGACUCUGGGUACUCAACUCUGUAUACUCAACUCAAUAUAAAGCAACAAUAAGAGAUGCAAUAUAUAGAAAGCUUUAUAAAAUAGUAAAAACAACUUAGUUCGUUAAAGAAAAUGCAAUAACAAACUCAACUUUACUUAUACAAUAAAGUAAUGUAGUUUAUGUGGAGUUUCUCCAACCGACAACCACCACUAUGAGCCUAAGUGNNNNNNNNNNNNNNNNNNNNNNNNNNNNNNNNNNNNNNNNNNNNNNNNNNNNNNNNNNNNNNNNNNNNNNNNNNNNNNNNNNNNNNNNNNNNNNNNNNNNNNNNNNNNNNNNNNNNNNNNNNNNNNNNNNNNNNNNNNNNNNNNNNNNNNNNNNNNNNNNNNUUAAUAUGAACUCGCAUCCCCAUAUCGAUGCUCAAUACUACUCCCAAAAAAUAUACUUAGCUCUUAUGUUUUAAAAAACCAAACUUCUUUCUUUGGUUUGAGAUAAUUACUCAAAACUUAGCUUAAAAGCUUUCUUGGAAUCGAUGUUCCCUUUCUUGCUCAAAACUCUUUUGGAAAUCUUAAUUUCCUCUCAUCUUAAAUGUGAAAACAUUACUCUUGGAAAUACUUAGUUCCCAUAUAUUAUUUUAAAGAAAAUGAACUUUACUCUUACUCUUUACUCAACUUCAAAGCUUAAGUCUUAAAACAAAAUUUAAACAUUUGUAAAAGACUUCUUAAAAUAUGGUUCAUGCCGAAUUAUGGACGUGAACGACUCAAUGCAAGGUUUUCAAUAACCAAAGAUAGAACUCAAUACUUGGAACUCAAGAACUUCAUUGUUAAUACUCGUUGCAAAAAUGCUCAACUCAGAGGGUUCAUGCGGAAUUAUGAGCAUGAAUAACCCAACUCAAACUUCAUGGGUAACAUGUAAUAGUCCCAUGAUUAGAACUAUAAUCUCAGAGGGGAUUAGAAACUCAAAACUCAAGACUUAGAACUUGAAGAUACUACUCCUUUCAAAGAUAUUGAACUGAUGGAGUUCAUGCAGAAGUUAUGGGCAUGAACGACUUGACUCAAGGGUCAAAAUAUCAAUAANNNNNNNNNNNNNNNNNNNNNNNNNNNNNNNNNNNNNNNNNNNNNNNNNNNNNNNNNNNNNNNNNNNNNNNNNNNNNNNNNNNNNNNNNNNNNNNNNNNNNNNNNNNNNNNNNNNNNNNNNNNNNACUUUUAACUCUCUCUUGAAUGUGAAUUAUGAAUUCAAGAGUUAUGGCUCAAGCUAUAAAAGAUAUCAUGACGAAAAAAUAGACUCAUGAAUACAUUCUCCUCACUCUCAUGCUCACUACUUGAGUGUUGAAAGAAGUUACUAGAAGUUGUAGAAGACUCCACAAAAGGACUCAAAGGGACUUUCUUAGAAUGUUUGAAAGAAUUCUCAAAACUUAGCUCUCAACUCUACCUUGAAUUUGAAUUAUUAAUUCAAGGUUAUGAUAAUGUUAUGAAUGAUUUCUAGGUGUUUAGAAGUAGUUUAAAGUGUUUAGAAUCAAAGGGGAGUAAAGGUACCAUUUGAAAGAACUCAAACAGACGAAACGAUGAACAACGGGUGGGGGCCGGCGACCCUGGCGCUCUGAGUCACGUGGGGCGCCAGCCCCUAAAGUUCAGAGAGGUGGUUGGGGCUCUCUGGCUGGCGUGACACUCCAGGCCCCAACCCAGAAAAGUUCGACGACUUUCUUUGCUCGUUUUCUCACCCUAAGUCGCCUAAAAUCGAACAGUUUCUUCCCCAAUCACUUGGAUUUAAUUAAUUAACAUUAAUACACUCUCAUAUACUCAAAACAACACUCAAAUUACUAAAUUUCAUUUGAAGAAAUCAUCAAAACCCCAACACAACAAGAUUUAGAAUGAACUUCAAGAACACCUAUCAAGAACUCAAAUCUUUCAACUUCAAGAAUGAAAUUUGGGCUGAAAAUAACAUGUUUGGAGUGUGGGUGAACAAACCCAACAUUAUGGAAGCUUACAUACCUCUUAGGGAUCAAACCCAUGGCAAAAAUCUGCAACAAGACGGAAGAAUCUCGACGAACGCUUGAUCCUCUCCUCUUUUCUCUUCUUUUCUCUUCUUGAACUCUCAACUAAAACCCUAGGCAUAAACUAGGAUUAUAAAACUGAACAUAAUCAAAUUAUACCCCUAAAAUAUUACUAAAAACGAAUUAAAUCUGAUUGGGUAAGGAAAAGACCAAAAUACCCCUUACUAUUUUCGACUAACUUUCCUUAACUGGGUUGCCUAACUUCAAAAGGUCAUAUCUCACUCAUCCAAACUCGAAACUUAGAAAACUCGUUGGCGUUGGAAAGAUAAUUCAAAGAUAUUUCCUACGGUAUCUGGUAGCACACCUAACGCAUCCUGAGCUAGGAUUUAUGGUCGUUUGAAGUCGACCCAAAACUCAUACUUAAGCAUAACUUGCAAAAUUUCAGAUUUUGCUAUUUCCAAGUUUGAACUUUUUUGGAACUCAAGGUGCUACAUCCAGUGACCUUAAAACUUAAGAAAUUUUUAAUUCCUUGGAAAAAUCUCACUUACUACGAUGAACGGUUCGAGUCUUAGUUCAAUUUUUUUUUUGGGUGUUACAAAAACAGCGUAGAGUCCUCAGAAAUCCUACAUUGAUGUUAGGAGAAAGAAGUUAGAGUUCGAAGUAGAUGAUUGGGUCUACUUGAAAGUUUCACCCAUGAAGGGUUUUAUGACAUUUGGUAAGAAGGGGAAGCUUAGCCCCCGGUAUAUUGGUCCUUACAGAAUAUCCAAGAGAUUCGCAAUGUAGCUUAUGAGUUGGAGCUACCUCAAGAGUUAGCAGCGGUUCAUUCGAUUUUUCACGUCUCCAUGUUGAAAAAGUGCAUGGGCGAUCCUUCUUUGAUCAUACCAACCGAAGAUAUUGGGAUCAAGGAUAGCUUAUCUUAUGACGAGAUUCCUAUUCAGAUUCUAGAUCGCCAAGUUCACAAGUUGAGAACAAAAUAGGUAGCAUCAGUCAAAGUCUUUUGGUGGAAUCAAUUUGUUGAGGAAACUACUUGGGAAUCGGAGGAGGAUAUGAAGAAGAGAUAGCCACAUCUCUUCGAAUCAGGAGAAAUUCCAGAACAAGGUACUAAUUCAUUUCUUAGUACUCUUUAACUUAUGAGAUUGCAUGUUGUAGUUGCAUUGGUUGUUGGCUGUUUGAACUGAAUGUUAGAUGUUAUGCCCUUAACUUACUAAGAGUAAGCUCAUUCGAGGAUGAAUGUUCCCAAGGGUGAGAUAUUGUAACACCCGGUAACUAGAAAGAACUAAAAAGCAAAUAGUCAUUUUUGGAAAGCAUAAAAAUCUCGAAAUAUUUAAGUGUGUUAAAGUUGAGUUUUUGGUCAAAUUCAAAUGACCAUAACUUCUAGCUCAGGAUGAGUUAAGUGUGUUUCCAGAUAUCUUAGGAAAUAUAUUGGAAUAAUCUUUCCAACGCUGCCGAGUUUACGCAAUUCUGAGUUCGUAUUAGUGAGUUAUGCCCUUUGGAAGUUGGGCUGUUCAAAUAAGGAAAUGUCCAAUCCAGAUUUUUAAAGGGUGUUUUGGUCUUUUCCAUACCAUAUUAUUUUAAUUCAUUUUUGGUGAAUUAAUUAGGGGUCAAAACUGAAUUGGUUCAGUUUAGGCAAUUGGAGAUUUACGCUAGGGUUUUUGGAGAAUGAACGCAAGAGGAGAAAAGAGGAGAAAGAGAAAAGUUCGUCGUUCUUGAAGGUUUUACUUGUGGAUUUCGACAAGGGUUGAUCCCUAAAGAGGUAUGUGAGUCUUUCAUAGCAUUGAGUUCGUUCACCUACGCGCCAAUCAUGUUUAUUUCAGCGUAAAUUCGUCCUAAAAGAGUUUGAAAGUUGAUGUUCUUGACAUCUAUUCUAGAAUUUGAUAUUGUUCUUGAGUUGGGCUGAAAUUGAGAAGUUUCUAAGAUCAUUACGUCAAAUUAUUGAGUUGGUUGAAGUUAGGUUCUUAGGUUUAGGUACAUUUGCUGGGUAUCUGUAUCUAAAAAGAAUUUGGGAAAAAGAACCGAGUUUGGGCGAAUUGGGGCUGGAAAACGAAGAAGAAAAUUCGUCAGGAAAAUCAGGGCACUGGCUCCGCAUCGCGGACCUGCUCCCCAGAUUUGGGAAAAGUCAUUUCGCGUCGCGGAGCGGUCACAGACCGUUCUGCCUCAAAAAGUAUUUUUGCGACCAAAAUUUAAAUACACCUCGACGUCGUGGACUAGUUUCCAGGCAGUGAUUUCUUGAUCAUUUAUCAUGUUUAGCUAUCUAAAAUCAUUCCUAAGUAUCAUGAGAUCUUUUCUAUCAAAAAUCUCAAUCCUUGAACCUAUAAUUCAAUUCAAGGACCAGUUAAGAGUUAAGUCAAGAGAAGUUAAGAGUCAAGUCAAGAGAAGUUCAUAGAGUUUUCCAAGGGUCUUUUACAAAUGUUUUAACUUUGUUUUAAGACUUGAGUUUGAGUUGAGUAAAGUUUGAAGUUCAUUUCUUCAAAAGAGUAUAUCGGGACUAUGUAUUUCCAAAGAGUAAAAUGUUUUUCACAUUUUAAAGAAGAAAUGAAACUUUGAUUUCCAAAAGAGCCUUUGAGCUAGUUUUCAGUGAAGAGCCUUUGAGUUAGUUUUCAGUUUAAAGAGUAAAUGCUUUCACAAUAAAGCAAGAGAGGAAACUUAGAUUUUCAAGAUAGCCUUUGAGCUCAGUUUUUGAGCAAUUAUCUCAAAUCACAGAAAGAAGUAUGUUUUUUAAAACAUAAGAGCUAGUAUUAUUUUGGGAGUAGUAUUGAGCACCGAUAUGGGGUAGAGUUCAGACAACUCACAACCCCCAUAAACCAUGUAGCCACCAUGGGUAGAAAAGGGUCCUAUUGUUUAGAUGAUUCCUUGAUGCUUUUUAGUAUAGACUAGUAGAUCCACUUAGUAGUUCAGGUUCUAUACUCAUGGCUAAGUUUAGGACGGCCCUGGCAGAGUGAGGCAAAACGCUGUAUCAUCACAAUAUCUCUUAAGUGAUGGUUGUCGGUUAGAGAAACUCUACAAUAGUAUUUUGUAUUCUUUUAUACACAGAUUAUUUGUAUUUUCAUAUACAAACAGAGUUCAUAUUGUAUCUUUGCAUACAUGCAAAAUUAUUAUUGUAUUCCUAGAUACACAAAGUUGCUUUCCAUGUUUUAAAAUCUUUUAUUUAUAUUGCAUUUAUAUUACUGCUUUAUAUUGAAAUCAAUUCAAUUCAGUUGAGUUGAGACCAUGUUUGUUUCUUCAGUUCCUUUUAAGCUUAUGUCUUGUUUUAGAUUUCCCCUCGCAUACUCGUACAUUCAAUGUACUGAUGCCAGUUGGCCUGCAUCUUUUCAUGAUGCAGACGCAUGUAACUAGGAUCAACAUCCAGCGCAUCGUUGAUCCAGUUGAGCACUCAGAGUCUAUGCUAAAAUGCACUUAAGGAAUCAUCUAAAAAGUAUGAUCUUUUACUAUCCAUGAUGGCUACAUGGUUUAUGGAGACGUGAGUUAUCUGAACUCAAACUCGUCCCUAUAUCGGUGCUCAAUAUUACUCCCAAAAUACUCAGCUCAUAUGUUUAAAAACAUAACUUUUUCUGUGGUUUGAGAUAACUACUCAAAAAUCUAUUCUUAAAAGAGAUGAUACUCAAACUGCUCAAAACUCUUUUGAAAAUAUCUGUUUCCUCUCAUCUUAAAUGUGAAAACAUUUACUCUUGGGAAUACUUAGUUGCCAUAUAAUCUUUGAAGAAAUAAACUUUACUCUUACUCUUUACUAAACUCAAAGCUUAAGUCUUAAAACAAAGUUAAAACGUUUGUAAAAGACUUCUUAAAAUAUGGUUCAUGCCGAAUUAUGGACAUGAUGGACAUGGAUGACUCAAUGCAAGGUUUUCACUAACCAUAGAUAAAACUCAAUACUUGGAACUCAAGAACUUCAAUGAUACUGCUCAUUUCAAGAAUGCUUAACUUAGAGGGUUCAUGCAGAAUUAUGAGUAUGAACUACUCAACUCAAGGACUCAAGGACUCAAAGAUACUUCUCAUCUGAAGACAGGAACUCAACACUUAAAGGCUUAGAACUUGAAGAUACCACUUCUCUGAANNNNNNNNNNNNNNNNNNNNNNNNNNNNNNNNNNNNNNNNNNNNNNNNNNNNNNNNNNNNNNNNNNNNNNNNNNNNNNNNNNNNNNNNNNNNNUUAGGAACUCAAUACUCAAGACUUAGAACUUGAAAAUACUACUCCUCUCAAUGAUGCUCAAUUUAUGGAGUUCAUGUGGAAUUAUGGGCAUGAAUGACUCCCAAUAACGAACUAAUGUAUACGACUUUUCUCCAUACUUACUUAUUCAAAACUUAACUCAAAUUGAUGGUGGAUCUAAAAGGAUUCACAAUUGAAAUCAAAGUCUUCCUUGAACUCUACUCUUUAACUCCUCUUGAAUGUGAAUUAUGAAUUCAAGAGUUAUGGUUCAUGAUAUGUAGGAUAUAAAUGAUAGUGUAGACUCAUGAAUACAUUCUCCUCACUCUCAUGCUCACUUACUUGAGUCUUGAAAUAAGUUAUUAGAAAUUGAAGAAGACUCCUCAAAAGGACUCUCUCAAAAUGAUUAAAAAAACUCUCAAGACUUAACUCUCAACUUUACCUUGAAUUUGAAUUAUGAAUUCAAGGUUAUGAUUCAUGUUAUGAAUGAUUUCUAAGUGUUUAGAAGUAGUUUAGAGUGAUUAGAAUUAAAGGGAGUGAAGGUUCACUUAAAAGGGGCUCAAACGGGACAACCGACGGAAAAUGAGUUGGGGCAACCAACCCUGGCGCGUUCCGGGCGCAGGGAGCCAGCCCCUAACUUCAGAGGCUGCAUAUGGGUGCACUGCAGGGGCGCUGCCCCAGCCCCUUGGUCGCAUUUGGGGCGCGCCACCCUAGCCUCUCCCCAGGUCAAGUUCGACGAAUUUUGCCUCUCGUUUUCUGAUCCUAAAUCACUUUUAAUCGAUUUAUUUUCUCAAGUUUCCCUUAAAUUCAAUUACUGAACCUAAGUACACACUAAUCCACUCAAAACAAUCACUUUCAUCUCGAGAAAUCAUCAAAACCCCAACAAGACAAGAUUUAGAAUGAACUUCAAGAACACUUAUCAAGAACUUAAAUCCUUUAACUUUUGAGAGUGAAAUUGCGCUGAAAGUAACAUGUUUGGCGUGUGAGUAAACAAACCCAAUAUUAUGAAAGCUUACAUACCUCUUAGGGAUCAAACCCAUGGCGAGAAUCCGCAACAACACGCAAGAAUCUUGACGAACGCUUGAUCCUCUCCUUUUUUCUCUUCUUUUCUCUUCUUGAACUCUCAACUAAAACCCUAGGUGUAUUUUAGGAUUAUAAAACUGAACCUAAUCAGAUUAGACCCCUAAAACAUUACUAAAAAAUGAAUCAAAUUUGAUUGGGUAAGGAAAAGACCAAAAUACCCCUCUAAAAUUUGAUUUUGAGUUUCCUUAUCUAGACAUCCCAACUUCUAAUGGCCAUAUCUCCCUCAUACGAACUUCAAAUUGAGUAAACUCGGUGGCGUUGGAAAGAUAAUUCAAAAAUAUUUCCUAAGGUAUCUGGUAGCACACCUAAAUCAUCUUGAGCUAGGUGUUAUGGUCGUUUGAAGUCGACCCAAAACUCAUACUUAACUUAACUUGCAAAAUUUCAGAUUUUGCUAUUUCCAAUUUAGUUCUUAUUGGAACUCAAGGUGCUACAUAUAGUUACCUUGACACUUAAAGAAAAUUUUAAUUUCUUGAUUAAAUCUCACUCACUACGAAGAACGGUUUAGGUCUUAGUUCGAAAAUUUUUCUGGGGUGUUACAAAAUUCUUCUUCAAUAAUUGAAUCUAUUAGUUAGUGAACUCGAGUAAAUGGCUAAAAACAUCCCUGAACUAUACCUCAAACUCAAACUACAUCCGUGUAUCAUUACAUUGAACAAAAAACAUCCUUCAACUAUCUAAAAAACUGCAAGUUACAUCCUUAUGUUAACUUUCUAUCAAGAAACUAAUCACUUUAAGUAGAAGCACACAACAUUCCGAUAAAGGCAAACAAUUUUGCCCACUCACUGAUCUUCUCUAUCAAGUAGUAAACUAGUAAUCAUAUUAAAAGGUAUUCUAUGACUAGCAUUAUUGUAGGAAUAUUAAUUAAUUAAGGCCUAAAGAUUUAUAACUUGGGACUUGUUCAACUUUGGUUUGUCCCUUUUUUAAUUUUACUGAGCUUGUUAUUAUGUUGUUAGCUUUUCUAUCAAGACUCUUAUUGAUCCCAUGCUAUUUCGAGUUUGCUUUAUUUUUUCAUUUUCUAAUUAGUACGUUACUCCUCCAACAACAUUCAUCAAAUUUCCAAUACUCUCAACUAAUUAAAUGAAAACUUUAAACAUAAAAAUCAGAUGUAAACCUUGCAGAUUUGUCUUUGGACAUAAAAAUAAUAAUUAUGUGAUACUAAAAUACAAGGAUUUGAACUCUUAAUUAGUGUGUGUUUUGGUGCUGGGAAAAAUAAUUUUUAAAAAUAUAUUUUCAAUUUUUCAUAUUUAAUUGACCAAAGUUUUUGAAAAAUAUUUUAUCUAAGAAGACAAGUUCUUAAAAUAUAAAAAAAAAUGAGUUGUAAUAUCGACGUAGGAAAAAAAGCUCCACAAAUGACAUUUCAAAUUCAUUCACAAAUCCUUUUAGCAAAGACAAUGUUUGUUCUAUGUUUAAGAAGACAGUGAGGGGACAAAAUCUCUUUUCAUUAGGAGAUGGUCGCUAUAUUUUUGAUAGAAAAUUAAGGAGGGAUGUAACUUGUAACUUUCAAAAUAGUUCAGCGAUGGUUUUUGUUCACAAUAAUAAUAUAAGGAUGUAGUUUGAGUUUAAGGUAUACUUAAAGGAUGUUUUUGGCCAUUUACUCUAGUGAACUCCUCCAUUAAUGACUAGUCUAAAGUUAGAUUCUUGUAACUUUCAAUUUUGAUUUUGAUUUUGAACUACCAACAAAUUAUCAAAGUGAUGAAAAGUAUGUGAUUUGGUGGUGGGAAUUGACUUAGUGAUGAAAACCUGAUGAGGGCGGUGACCUGGUGGUUGAGGUGAGCCACCGCUGAUGUUUAGUAUGGAUCUGAUGAUGAAGAUUGAAGGGAAGAGAUAAAGAAGGUAACAAAUAAAUAAAAGGAAACAUAUUUUUAAAAAAGUAGAAUAUUAAUAUAAAUUAAAUAAAAUAUUUAUGAAGUUAAUAUUCUAAUUAUUUUUUGAUCUCUCACUCUCCCAAAGAGAGUGAACUAUACCUUCUUUGCCACAUCAACAUUUAGGGAGCAAAUAACUCCAUUUUAAAAUAGUCCAGGGGUGUAAUAGGACUCUUGUAAAGUAUGAGUGUGUAGUUGGGAAUCCGACUAUUGGUUGGGGGCAGUGGCGGAGCCAGAAAUUUUAAUAAUGGGGUUCAAAAUCUGAGAAGUAAACACACGAACUAGUGGAAGAGGGUUCGACAUCUAUUAUACAUACAUAAAAAAUAAUUUUAACCAUGUAUAAAUAGUAAUAUUUUUCGUCGAGGGGGUUCGGAUGAACCCCUUCAUUACAUGCUGCCUCCGCCCCUGGUUGGGGGGCUUUUGGCCAUUUUCUCUUCUUUUAUAUGGUGCACUAAGUUUCAAGUGUUAGUGCACUUUUAGUCUCUUUAUUAACAUCCAUUUACUCAUUAACGUUUUGAUCGAUCCUUUACACAUCCAUUUAUGGCCUCCGCUGUAUACGUUCUGGUACAAAACAAAUUAAUUCUUAGAUUUAUCUUAGCAAUUGCAGAUGAGUCUUCAUUUAUACUUGUUUUAUUUUUUGGCUCUGCAUCUUCAUUGUUUGGUGUGCACCAUUAAAGAUUUGCUAAUUCUUUAACUUUCUCCUCUAUUUUCCAUACACAAUUAAUAGGCUGACUAAGCCUUUGGGUUUUUCCUGAAUAAAAGUUUCUUGUGCUUUGCCUAUAUGUAUAUCUGGAGCAUAACCAAAGAAUAAAAUAAAAACAAGAAAAAAGGAAAAAUAUAAUGCAUGUAUCAAUAUCUCAAAUUAGAGUCGGAUAAAGGGUGUGUUCUAAUCAAAUUUUUUGGAAAAGAUUUUGUUUAGGAAAACAAGUUUCAUACGUGACACUUCAAAUGAAAAAAAAGACUUUGUUUAGGAAGUAGGGAAAACAAGUUUCAUAUGUGACAUUUCAAUUGAUUAUAUUGUCCGCCCACUCUCUAAGACACCACAUCUUCACCUCAGUACUCCCAUAGCUUCCAUACCCACUACCCUACACAUCUACCCUACCUCCGUCUCUCAUAGUAUUUGUCUAGAUUAUACGUAAAUGCUUUUAGAAUAACCAGCCAAAUAGAGUCAACAGGAGGAGACUAGUAAAGAAGUAGUCAUGUGGUUUUCUAGUCUUUUCAUUAACUAGUCAAUAGUUAUUCUUGAGCUACAUAUCAAGUUAGCAUAUAGAGCAAUUUUGCAGGUAAUUUAAGGAGCAUUAAACAUUAAUUAUCCUUUUCUACUAUUAUCAAUCUACAAAUCCUUGGAAAUGGAACAAUUUUAACUUACCCAAUAUUGAAAUGUGAAAGAUGGACAGAAGUAAAAAGAAUUAGCGUAACAAUGGCAGCAAAACCCUAUAUCCCCAAAUAGGACAAAUUCAGAUUCAGAUUUAAAAAAAUAAUCAGAAAUCUAACCUUAUAAGCUGAUGAAGUAGAAGUGGCAAAAAGAGAUACUGGAUUGAUUGAGUGGUGUUGUAGAAAUACCUCAACAGUUGACUACUUCCUCACAUUUCUUUUGUCAUUAUAUUUUAUACAACUCCUUUUAAUUCCUUUUAUCUAAGUUUUUAAUUAUGCGGUGGAGUAAUAAGUACUUAUUCAUAUUUAGUUAGAGGUUUCGGAUUUGAGUCUUUUUGGCUAUAAAAGGAUCUUUGUUAGGGAGUGCUUUACCCAUAAUUUGAGAUUUUUUGGCACAAAUUCAAAUUUAGUGAGGCUCUAAUUUGGAUAUCGAACACUGAGUGGAAAACCAAAAAAAGAAAAAUUACCAUAGGGCUCAUUUGGUAGGUGGAUAAAGCUACAUCUACAUGGUUUUUCAUGUAUUUAAUUUAUAUAAUGUUUUGUUGGUAGAAUGUUGUAUAAAAGUUAUUCAUGUAUUAACAAAGAUGUUUCUCUCUACGAUAUGUUCCCGCAAGAGAAAGAGUUUGUUAUUUGAGGGGGGGGGGUUAUUUGGAGUCUUUUAACCACAAUUUGAAGCCUCGACAUAUCUCUUUUAUCCAUGGUUCAAGGCCCCGACGUAUUUUUUUUGCCACGGUUCGAGGCCCCAACAUAUCUCUAUUCGCCUUGGUUCAAAUCCUAACAUGUGGUUCAUUUGGGUUCUUCGGGGUGCCUUCACCAAAGUUCAAGUCUGGAAUCAGCCAUUGCAGUUCUUGAAAGCUUUUAAUGUAGCUAGUGUUAUUCAUAGUACUUCUGUGUACUUAUCAGACCUAAGUGAAUCCAAACUCGUUUGAGUUAUUUACUUUCCAAUUGCGCACGAAUAUACGUACUUGCUGGGCUUAUAGGGUCCAGUUAGGUUAUAGAUAAUUGUUUUACUUUACUACUUCGUUCUAUCCACACUUGUGAGCUAUAUAGUUAGAUUUUCUGUUAUUGCUUUGUUCAUUUUACCUCUAAUUACCGUUACUUUCAUAUUGUUUUUACUUUCCAAGUUUAGUCAAACUAUGAUGCCUACUCGACACAUGUUGUUUUGAUAUUCAUGCUACACUCCACAUCUGUUUUCUUGAUGUAGAUUUGAGCACCUGCUGAUAACGGUGAUUCGAGCCUAAGUAAUGCGAAGAUCUUCUGAGAUGAAGGGUGAGUUGUUGGCUUCCUAGUUCGACUUAUCUCCAUAUGUAUAUAGUUUUUUACCUGUCUUUUGUAUUCGAGACAAGUAUAUUAAUUAGUAAGUCAAUAGCAUAGGCUCUAAACUAUGACUAAAACAUUGAGUGCAUGACAUGCACAUCUUACUCCUUAUUUUCCUUAUUCAGGGCCGUCUUAACCUCUAGGCCACUAAAGCCAUCGCUUGGGGUCCCAUAUAUUUUGGGUCCCCCAUUUUAAAAAAACAAUUACUUAUAUAUGUUAUUUUUUUAAAAAUAAAUUAUAUGUACUAUUAGCGUUAUGAUUUAUGCUAAAGAAAUUGCAUAUGAGAUGAAAAUAUACCUUAAUUUCGUAAGAAACGGUUUGAUGAAAAUAUGGAUAGAGAAAUCACAAAGUCCCUUGAAUAAUCUUUUAGUGUUUAUUGAUUUAUAUAUGUAGGGUAGAUCAAACUAUUUUUUCAUUUCAAAAUAGAUUCGAACCAAUUGAAGCAUAUAUAUGGAAAUAUUUUUGAUUUCUUAUUUAGUAGUAAAAUGUUGAGAUCACUAGAUGAUGAAUUUAAAAAAUAUUGUCUUAACCUUGAACUUUCUUUAACAUGUAAUAGUUAUUCUGAUAUUGAUGGUUUAAAUUUAUUUUUUGAAUUAAAAGUGUUAAGGGAAAUAAUACAAAUAGAAGAUAAUGAUCUAACAAAAAUACUCAAUCAAAUAAAAAGACUUGAUUCUUUUUCAAAUACACAUAUUGCUUAUAGAAUAAUGUUAACAGUUCAUGUAACCGUUACCUCAGCCGAAAGAAGUUUUUUCGAAAUUAAAAUUGAUUAAAUCUUCUUUAAGAUGAACAAUGUCUCAAGAGAGAUUGAAUGAAUUAGCUAUAUUACCAUUUGAAAAAUAAUUAUUAAAACAAAUUGAUUAUGAAACAGUACCUAUUGACUUCGCAUCUAAAGUAGCUAGAAAAGAAGAUUUUAAAUAAAAGUAUAUAGGAUGAAAAAAAUAAAAUAUUAGGGCCCCUCUAUUCAGUUUUCCUUUAGGCCCCUAAUGUUGUUGAGUCGGCCUGGUUAUUCGUACCUAUUUUUUUCAUACUUUCUAACUUCACUAGUACAUUAUCAUUUGUUAAGGAAAAUUAUGUAAACUGAAUAGUAGAUGGCCUGAUCCACUUAUGAGUGAGUGCUAGUUCAUUGAUUGAUACAACUAAUUCACAUUAAAUAAUAUAUAUUACAUUUUUGAACUGUUAAACUAGAAAUAAGAUUAAGGAUAAGGGAACUCUGUAUUAACUUCACUUUUCCUUAUUAGUAUCAAAAGUUUCUCGUUUAGGAAAUAGGAAGUUUUGAAGGACUAAUAUUAUCCUUUCUUUUAAAUUGAACUCUAUCUAAUGGCUGAUUCUAUUUAUGAAUCAAUCCCUUAGGUGCAUUAUUUCCAUAGGUUCCAACAUUGGUAACAAAAUCUAGCUUUCUCGCUUGAAUUGGCAUAAUUCUAUACUUCCCUCAUCUUAUCUAUCACGGAGGCCGCUCCCACCUUAUCCCUUAUAUCCUCAUUCUAAUCUUUAUCACUCCGAGUAUGAACACGCAUCCACCUCAAUAUCCAUAUCUCUGCAACAUGCAUCUUCUAGACAUGAGAGUUCUUGACUGGCCAACUCUCAUUUCCAUACAACAAUUUACAUACACACUCUAUAUAAAUACACACAUACAUAUAUUGGUGGAAAAAUCAUCAAUAGAUGAAACUUAAACAAUACUCUCUCUAUCUCAAUUAAUGUGACAAUUGGAUUUUAUCUUUUAAAUUGUUAAUUAUUGUGAUUUACCUUUUCACAUAAUUUUCAAAUAUAUAAAUUUUAUAUAAAAAAAUUUAAAGCUUCUGUAUCCGAAUUUACUGUCAAAUUAUAGAAGUUUGAAUCUCAAAAUUUCAACUAAUGCCACGUAAAUUAAAUCAACCCUAACACUCAAAAAAGCUACAAAUAAUUCAAACAUAGAAAGUAAAAAAGAAGUAGAAAAAACCUUGAUAUAUAUAUAUAUAUAAAUAAAUUAUAUAUUGAUUUGUAAUUGGUUGCUGUCACUUCUGAGCAAAAUCGUGCACACUCAAUGGAUGCUGUUACAAGUAAUAUUGGUGUACAAAUAACUACCAAAAACAAAGGGAAAAUGCCAAGAGUUGGGGUUGAUGCAUCGCGAGUUGGUUCAGGCCAAAAAAUAAUGGAUUCAGGACACAAACUAAUGGAUACAUCUGAUGUUGAAGAUGCUGAAGAUUCUGGACAGCAUGUUUUGCAAGUUGAAACCAAGAAUGCAACUAAAAAUUGGACACUAGUUGCACACAAAAAUUCAACUAGUAAUCGGAGCCUUUCCCGACUAAUCAAAAUAAUUCUCCAUGUAGUGAAAAGGGUGCGACUGAAAAUUUUCAUGACAGUGAGAAGAGGCAAGAUAUUAGUAAUGCCUCAAGAUACCUAUUUUGUUCGAAUAGCUUUGAUGCUUUAUCAAAGACUACUGGAAAGAAAGUAAAGUUAACAGAGAAUGACAACGAUUUGAUCUAAGAAAAGCAAGUCUCACCACCUACUUUGAAUAGCAAAUUAAGUCCAAAAGCUCCCAUAUUUGUGCCUAAAUGCGUGAUUGUAAAGAAGAAUGAGACAAGGGCCUUAGUGUCAGAUACAAUUGAUUUGAGCGAGGAUUCUCUUGAUGAAGAUGAGGAAGACAAUAUGCUUGAUUUGGGCGAGGAUUCUCUUGAUGAAGAUGAGGAAGAUAUGCUGGACAUAUGCUUUGACAGAGUGGCUAGGGAAGGAGAUAUAUCACCUCGGCAACAAAUAAGUAGAAGCAACAAAAGCAAAAAGAAGACACAUGGAAGGCAACAUAGUUGAGACGGUAAAAUGACUGAGGAGUUUGUUCCAAGGCACCUACCAAUGCGACAAGCAAAGCAGAACCAUUUGACAGUAUCAAUUGGUUCAACAAGAUCCAAUAAAUCCAUAAAGAAAGUAUGAAUUAUCAAGUGUUGUUGGAUAAGUUUGAAGAAGAAGACAACAGAAAAAUACUUUAAGUUACUUUUGAUGGGCAAUCAAUCUUUUUUAAUUCAUGCGUUUGUAAUUGAAAGUUUGAGGUUGAUAACUCAACUUUCUUCUUGAUUGACAUAUUUUUACAUUAUUUAAGCAUCCUAGUUUGUAAUAUCAUCAUGGAGUGUAUUACAAACUUUGUGGUGAUCAGAAAAUACUUAGUUCUCUCUAGCUCUUAUUUUCUUCAUGCUUGUUAGGUAGUAGACGUUAGGUACUUCAUUAGGAUUAGUACGGUAAGGCCUACCCCCUUGCUUGCACUUAUCCCUAUUGAUUUUUUUUAUGUUUAAUAAAAGGCCACUAGACACUGUCUAGUGGUAAAUUUGCGGGAAAAAAAAACCUUGAGAUAAUAUGCCUUGCGAAUUUCCUCUUGAGAUGCUAAAAGACUUACAUCAAGAACAUCAUAAUACUCUGUCUCUUUAACCAUUUUCUUUUCUUUUUCCAAAAUCCCAAUUAACAAAAAACUACUCUUUUACCUCUUCCAAUACUCUGAUUACCUUUUUUUGCGCUUGUAAAAUUUUAAAGUAGGAGCGGAAAACCAUUUGACUGUAAGGAAAAGAAACAAGCCGUGUUGAGAAUUGAUUUAAAAUCUUUUGUUUAAGUUUACUGCUUAGGAUAAGUUUUACAGUAGGUUGAAUAAGUCUUUUACUAGAAUUGAAAUAGUCUUUAUUAGUUACUACUUUUCUGGUAGUAUUUAGUCAAGUGGCGUCUAUUAUCUUUCUGAGUUUGUUAGCCUAUAAAAGGCGUAGAGACUUCUAGUUAAUAAUCUCUCUUCUUCCUACAAGCCAAACAAAAAAAAUGAUGAGUGAUCCAAACAAUUUUAAGCUCAAACACAAUGUUAUAAGAAGGUAAGAUAAGAAAUAAUGUCACAAUAUUACAGGUAAAUCGUUUUCUUUUUCCUGUUUUUCAAUUUUUAUCACUAUAAUAUUAUGUAUGCCAAAUCUCUAAGAUGAGGCCUCAUCCAUUGGUAUGGUAUAGAAGUAGCGUUCAAUUUGCUCGACUGCAUUAUCCUCGCCCUGAGUCUCGUUUCCUCUCUUUAUUGGAACUAGGCUCUCCUUGUAAUUGAAAACCCAACAGCCAGCAAUGAAAAGGUCCAGCUGAAAUCCAAGAUCUGUAACUUGCCUUGUUUUAGGGUCAUAUAGCACCAGCUGUGAAGUUUCUGUGAUCUCGAAAACCAUCUUAUCGUUAUCCCAGAUGUUGAGAGGCCAAUGAGCAUCUAUAUGAGGUUGAAUAGUAAGAACUUUGGACCAAUUUCCCUCUUGUUUCAUUACCCACACAUUGUAUAUGGAUGUCAUUGGUUUGCCAGGGUCACCGGUUAACAUAGCAAGUAAGCCGCCAUGCAAUGUAAGUGUCCCCCAAUGUUCACUUGGAAUAUGUGGGACUUGUAUCUCCCCAAACUGUUCGCUGUCCAUGUCAAAAGAGCGAAUCGUGUAGAUAUCAUCAAGGCCCCUACAAAGCCAAUAAUAAACCCUGUUGAGAUAAGUGGCAUCAAGGGGUGCAGACAAGGUAGAACUGGGAGGGAAUUCAGGAGUAAGGUGUUUCCAUGAAUUGUUGCAUGAGGAAUAGACACAGGCAUAGACACGAUUAUUAGCACCUUGUCCCGGCAUAUCCCAGAAUACUCGAAUCCAUACAACCUUAUAAUCUAGAGUCAACAGGUCAAAUCCCAAUCCAAACU
This 47177-nucleotide long non-coding RNA is filed under the name Solanum tuberosum (potato). RNAcentral describes it as "long non-coding RNA (STUB_LNC005037)". Lineage: Eukaryota; Viridiplantae; Streptophyta; Magnoliopsida; Solanales; Solanaceae. The record is from RNAcentral.